ACACUUCCAAAAAAGUCAAGUCUCUUUCCCUUUCUCAUCUCUUCAUACCCAGGCCAACGCAAUCCCUUUUGCUCUCCUGUCUUCGCAAGUAAGUAAAAUCUCAGUUCAUCUCAUCAUCUGACGGUUUGUUUUCAUACUUUGCUUUCCCCAAAUUGCCCUCGCCUUUUCCUCUCUUUUUCAAUUUCAGUUUCUUUUCGAUUAUAGACUCGAUUUUCUUUAUCUCGGUUUGUAAAUUUUAUCAGAUGUAAUGCAUAAUUGAUCGUCGUCGUUGUUUUGUUCAAUAGUUUCGCAAAACAAGCCGAAAUUAAAUUAAAUUAUGUAUCAGCAUCAAUUAAUUAAUUAAUUGAUGCUGUUUAGAUUGUGUGCUUGAUUAUAUAUCAAUAUCAGCAUAUUUUUAUUAAGAUUUUAAAUUUAAUUAAAUAAUCAGGAGUCUGAAUGAUUUUUAUUUUAAAUAUUUUUAUGAAUUUAUUCAUGUUCGGUUGGAUAAUAUUUAAAGUAAUAAUAAAUAUAGGUUUUAAUGGAGUGAAAUUGUAAGGGUAUGGUAACUGAAUUUUGUUUCUUAUUCUUUAAAGAUAAAGACUGAAUUCAAUAUGAAGUGGUUUGAUAUUGUAAAUGCAUUGCAGGUAAAUUGGAACUUUUUAUAUGAUGGGAGGAAGUGCGAUUGAUGAUGAUUGGGAGCUUACUUCUCCAUCUAAUGGGGAGCGCACUGUGGUUUUAGUUGGCCGUACUGGCAAUGGCAAAAGUGCGACGGGCAACAGUAUUCUUGGAAGAAGAGCCUUCAAGUCAAGGGCUAGUUCAUCUGGUGUUACUAGUACCUGUGAAAUGCAGAGAACCGUGCUCAAAGAUGGCCAAGUUGUUAAUGUCAUUGAUACCCCUGGUAGUUUACUGAUGUCAUUGCCUAGAUAUUCCAUUUCCAUGCUUGUUGAUGUUGUGGUGGUAAGUAGAUUGAUGUUAUGAGUAAUUGCAGGACUUUUUGAUUUUUCCGCUGGCUCUGAGUUUGUUGGCAAGGAAAUUGUCAAAUGUAUCGGUAUGGCCAAGGAUGGGAUCCAUGCAGUCCUUGUAGUUUUCUCUGUUAGAAGCCGUUUUUCUCAAGAGGAAGAAGCUGCACUACACAGUUUGCAGACCUUGUUCGGGAAAAAAAUUUUUGACUAUAUGAUUGUUGUUUUCACUGGAGGGGAUGAACUUGAAGAUAAUGAUGAAACGUUAGAAGAUUAUUUGGGUCGUGAGUGUCCAAAGCCUUUAAAGGUUUGUUUCUGAACAGCAAUAGUGUUCGAUAAUUUCCAUUUUGAUCAAGUUGUCUUGGGUUGCUUCUUUUGUGAAGUUUUAGAUUCCUUUACAGAUGGACUAUUGGAAGUUUAAUAUGAAUAUAUGCAUGCUGAAAAUACUAGAUAGGUGUAUAGUAGUCCAGCCGUCUUAAAAUUCCAUUUUCAAUAGUGCUUCAUUUCCUGAAUGGUUUUCUUCUGCCAAGCGGGAUUGGCCGGAGAGGUGAUUGGUUGGUAAUUUUCUGCUGGCGUUACUUAAUUUUAGUUAUAUUUUAAUGUCUUUGAAUGAGAUGUCAUUCAUUCAUUUGCUAAGCAUUUAUGCUUUUCUUAUUUGUAUUCUUUGAUUUCAUCUGUUAUUUAAUCUUUGGUUCUUAUUCUAUUAACGUGUGUUCAUUUGUUUGUUCCUUAAAAUAUGUACCUCUUUGAUUUAUAUGCUUAAAAUUAACCUACUUUUAAGAUUUUAGAAGUGCACCAAGGAGGAUAUGACUUGCCAUACAGGUCCAUUUUAUUAGGCGUUGUUUGAAUAAAAUAUCAAGUCUAACUUUACAAGAUUUAAAAUUCUCUUUAAAAUCCCUGUGGAUACUAGCCCCAUAAUUGGUGUCUAAAAUUUCAAUGUGAGAUCUUUUUUCAGUUUCAACAUGCAAAUCUCUUAUUGUCAGAAUUUACUUGAUGAAUUUGGUCCCUAAAACUUUUCAAGUUCAGGAGUAGGAAGAAAAAUAACAAAAAUGAAAAUAAAGACCCCUUUCAAGUUCAGGAGUAGCUUUGCAAUUAACAAAAUCGGGUUAUUUUACAGUUAAAGGGAACAUUGUUUUACUUAUUGUACUAAUUUUUGUAGUUUGAAGGAAUCAAAUUUUUUUAGUUAUCAUGCUGCAAAAUUAGGUCAAUUAUGUAGAUGCCACAGAAAAUAUGAUCAUGUCUUUUGGCAGUUUUGAGCUUUGGUCACUUGAGUUUGUUUAUGACAAUAGUACAGUCUUUCAUGCUUUUUUCUAAAUGUAAGAAUUUGCCUAGUGAAGAGGCAGCUACUGAUUUGUAGGCACUAAUUUUGAUUGGGUCAAUGCUUUUCACUGGAAUAUAUGCAGAUUAUUAUUAUUAUUUUUUCUGUUAUAUGGAAUGCUGAUCACCUUUUAAGAUCUUUAAAUUUGAUGGACGUAAAAGGUUAUUGUAAGUGGUCAAACCAUAAGGAGAAUGGAAUUAAUUAUUAAAAGUUGAUUAUUGCUUGCCCUUAAAUAGUUUUUGGGGAUGCAUGAUAUUAAGUACCAAUGAUCACAAUAAAAACAAAUUUUGUCAGCUGAAUAUCUUCAAACUUUUAGAGACUACAAGUGUUUGAUUGGUUUAUCAAUGCUUACGAAAGGGGCUAACAUUUGCUUUAUUCCUGAUCAUUUUUCCAUUAUUUUAGGAAAUCCUUCAACUAUGUGAUAAUAGGUGCGUGCUUUUUGAUAACAAGACUAAGGAUGAGGCCAAGAGAACUGAGCAGGUUUGGAAGCUUCUUUCUCUGGUUAACUCUGUGGCCGUGCAGAAUGGUGGGCAGCCAUAUACGGAUGAUAUCUUUGCUGAGUUGAAGGUGACUUCGUUACUAUCGUGAUAGACUUCUGUGCUGCUUCUUUCUGAAUAUGUCAUGACGAUGUCUCUUUUUCUUUUUUCUUUUUUCUUUUUUCUAUUCAGAAAGGGGCUACUAAACUCCGUGAUCAACAAUUUGAGGUUGAUUCUCUCAAGGGAUAUUCAAAACGAGAAAUUUCAGAGCUGAAGGAGCAGAUGCAUAAAUCAUAUGAAGAUCAACUCAAACGAAUUACUGAGAUGGUAUUUUUUAUGCUCCUUGUUUUGGCAUCAAAAUAUGACAUGCAUAUGUGUUCAUUUCUCAGAUCCAAAAAUGCUUAUAAAGUGUGCAGGUACCUGUAAUGAUAUUCUAAAUUGUGAGACUUGGAGGUGAUAAAGACUGCCGCUGUGUCCUUACCCCUAGAUUGUUGGAGAUUGCCAUCUGAAAAGAGGCUUUAUCUUGCUAGUUGAUGGGGACAAAUCUGUUAUUAAGUUAUCUGUUCACUGAUUGUGUUUUGAAGGCUGUAACAUGUUGUUCUUACCUUGAAGAUUGUUUGACUGUCUUGUUCUGUUUUGUUUCUUGAUGAAAUUAAGUAGAUUACUCUAUGGUAGUAGCUAUAGGUGGUUUGCUCAUCAUGACUUGCACUUAGGAGUGGAUUCUGCACUUGUUUAGUCAUCAAUCAUAAGAACAUUUCUUGUAAUACUGUAGAUCCUGUUUUGUUGCUAGGAAUUUUGCACUCCUGAAUCUGUGGGAACAUUUGAAAUGUUAUAAGCAAGUUAUGUUAUAUUCUAAUUUUGUUAAAAACAGAAUAGCCACAUUCAAAAUAAGUUUUUUGGAAAAUAUAGUUAGGUACAUGGAACCUAAUCAAAUAGCUGUGUAGUUUAAAUGUUCCUUUCCACAGUUUUAAUUUAUAGCAAGGCAGUAGAAUGAACUGGCAUUAAGCGAGAUCCUAUGCAACAAUAAUCUGGAUUUGCUGUAGCAGUCUGUGUACUGACUAUGUGUCUGAGGUGCUAAUAAGUUUUAAUCUCCACAUUCCUGGAGUGUGGCAAAAUGAAAAAGUUAGUAUAUUCUUUAAUACCUUAUAUUUUGGGUUUAUCUGUUUAUUUUUUUAAGCUUUUGUUUCUACCAUUUAUCAAUGAUUGAGAGAGUGGAAUUGAUUGAAGUAAGAAAGUUGUGCCGAGUAUGGUGAACUUAGCAACUCCCUUUGCAAUUGGAUUAAACUAAAUUAAUACUUAAGAAUUUUCUUCUCUUAAGUUGGAGNNNNNNNNNNNNNNNNNNNNNNNNNNNNNNNNNNNNNNNNNNNNNNNNNNNNNNNNNNNNNNNNNNNNNNNNNNNNNNNNNNNNNNNNNNNNNNNNNNNNNNNNNNNNNNNNNNNNNNNNNNNNNNNNNNNNNNNNNNNNNNNNNNNNNNNNNNNNNNNNNNNNNNNNNNNNNNNNNNNNNNNNNNNNNNNNNNNNNNNNNNNNNNNNNNNNNNNNNNNNNNNNNNNNNNNNNNNNNNNNNNNNNNNNNNNNNNNNNNNNNNNNNNNNNNNNNNNNNNNNNNNNNNNNNNNNNNNNNNNNNNNNNNNNNNNNNNNNNNNNNNNNNNNNNNNNNNNNNNNNNNNNNNNNNNNNNNNNNNNNNNNNNNNNNNNNNNNNNNNNNNNNNNNNNNNNNNNNNNNNNNNNNNNNNNNNNNNNNNNNNNNNNNNNNNNNNNNNNNNNGACUUCUGUGCUGCUUCUUUCUGAAUAUGUCAUGACAAUAUCUCUUUUUCUUUUUUUUUUCUACUCAGAGAGGGGCUACUGAACUCCGUGAUCAACAAGCUGACGUUGAUUCUCUCAAGGAAUAUUCAAAACAAGAAAUUUCAAAGCUAAUGGGCCAGAUGCAGGAAUCAUAUGAAGAUCAAAUCAAACGAAUUACUGAGAUGGUAUUUUUUAUACUCCUUGUUUUGGCAUCAAAAUAUGACAUGCAUAUGUGUUCAUUUCUCAGAUCCAAAAAUGCUUAUAAAGUGUGCAGGUACCUGUAAUGAUAUUCUAAAUUGUGAGACUUGGAGGUGAUAAAGACUGCCGCUGUGUCCUUACCCCUAGAUUGUUGGAGAUUGCCAUCUGAAAAGAGGCUUUAUCUUGCUAGUUGAUGGGGACAAAUCUGUUAUUAAGUUAUCUGUUCACUGAUUGUGUUUUGAAGGCUGUAACAUGUUGUUCUUACCUUGAAGAUUGUUUGACUGUCUUGUUCUGUUUUGUUUCUUGAUGAAAUUAAGUAGAUUACUCUAUGGUAGUAGCUAUAGGUGGUUUGCUCAUCAUGACUUGCACUUAGGAGUGGAUUCUGCACUUGUUUAGUCAUCAAUCAUAAGAACAUUUCUUGUAAUACUGUAGAUCCUGUUUUGUUGCUAGGAAUUUUGCACUCCUGAAUCUGUGGGAACAUUUGAAAUGUUAUAAGCAAGUUAUGUUAUAUUCUAAUUUUGUUAAAAACAGAAUAGCCACAUUCAAAAUAAGUUUUUUGGAAAAUAUAGUUAGGUACAUGGAACCUAAUCAAAUAGCUGUGUAGUUUAAAUGUUCCUUUCCACAGUUUUAAUUUAUAGCAAGGCAGUAGAAUGAACUGGCAUUAAGCGAGAUCCUAUGCAACAAUAAUCUGGAUUUGCUGUAGCAGUCUGUGUACUGACUAUGUGUCUGAGGUGCUAAUAAGUUUUAAUCUCCACAUUCCUGGAGUGUGGCAAAAUGAAAAAGUUAGUAUAUUCUUUAAUACCUUAUAUUUUGGGUUUAUCUGUUUAUUUUUUUAAGCUUUUGUUUCUACCAUUUAUCAAUGAUUGAGAGAGUGGAAUUGAUUGAAGUAAGAAAGUUGUGCCGAGUAUGGUGAACUUAGCAACUCCCUUUGCAAUUGGAUUAAACUAAAUUAAUACUUAAGAAUUUUCUUCUCUUAAGUUGGAGUUUUAUAUUACCAGUACCCAAUUUUUCUUUGUAUUAUACUGCUACUCUAGGGCUUAAUGGCAUGUUUUCUGACUGAUAUUGAUGCUUUUUUGAUAGGUUGAGUCUAAGCUCAAAGAGACAACAACUAGGCUCGAACAGCAAUUGGCAGAGGAGCAAGCUGCUCGAUUAAAGGCAGAAGAGGUUGCACAAUUAGCUCAAAUGAAGUCGAAUGACGAAAUUCGUAAGCUUAGAGAGAAUCUUGAAAGAGCUCAGAGGGAGACAGAGGAGCUCCGUAAGCAAGCUGAAAAAGGAGGGUGUGCCAUUCUUUGACCUAAUCACCUGCUGGCACUAUAUACCAUUGGCAUGAAAAUCACCUAAAGUAUAUUUUUGCUGUCUCCCCUACCUUUUCAGAUAAUAUUUGAAGUUAAUACUGCAUUUAUUCUCAGUGUUUUACUACAGUCAAGAAGCUUGUAUCCUCUAUUAUGUAAAUGUUCCCAGUCCAAUCUCGAGUGCGGUCUUAAGAUAGUAUUAUAUGGAAAAAUUGAAUUGACAUCAAAUGAAGUUUCUUUUAUGGAGCCGUUUAGAAUCUUUUCUUACACGGUGAAUCCAAAGAGAUCUGAUUCCUUUUUCUCCUCACGCUAUCUUGUUUCCACAUUUGUAACAGAUACAACCCAAAAUACGCCCUUUUAACAAUCAAUGACUUUCCCAAAAACUCCAAGUCACUUGAGUUUACUUGUACCUUAACUUUUUUGUUUUCACUCUUCUAAUGUGAUAUUAGUUUGUAUAAAUAGUUUGUUUGUAUAGAAUUUACUCCUUUCAUACAACAGAGUAAUCCUAAUAUCCAAGAGACUUGCAAUAAAACCACCAAGCCUAUGACCCUUCUUUGAUUCACGCCAAACUUCAACCAGCUCAUAGCCUAGAUUUAUCAAGUAUAAUAUUUAUUUAUGCAUAUCUGACACAAUCUUUAUUUACCUUAUACAUAAUGCAAAUCCUUCGACAUCAUACAGCAUCAGUUUUAUAGAUAUUAAGUUUCAGCAUAAUAACUGGUCUCCCAAGGAGAAGAAGCCAAUGAUAAGUCAGCCUAAGUGAUUAGGUUACACAUAAACUAAUCCAGUUUCAUAUAUUGCUGGUUUCAAAAAUAGGUAUCAAGUAGCACACACAUUCAGUAGAUAAUGUAGUCUGAUCGUAGAUCUCGCACUGAGAUGCCACAAGCAUGAUAUCCAGCAUCUAGCUUACCUGCAAAUGGGAGAAAACAUUGAUGCACGCGCAACACGAGUGUGUAGAAAUGAAAUGUGAUGGGAGAAUUAAUUACCCGAGAUGGAGUAUCUUCUUGUCCGGGUGAGAGUAAGCAGUGUCACCACCCUCGAUGAUAGCAGGACUAAGGAAAUUCUGAUAAGCUAAUGCAUGGAUUGCAUUCAGCUCUUGCCCAGUCACCGUGUUUGCUUGCUGAAACCUCUCCAUUUCUGCUAUCUGAGUUUCAGAAACAAUGAAAUUUUAAUAACAUGCUGAAAUUUUGGAAGAGGGAGAGAAAAAAUGCAUUAUACAUACAACGGACUGAUUUGCAUACCUUUGAUCGGAGACACACGCUUUCAUUUUCCAGCUCAAUCUCCUAUGAAAAUGAAAAUGUUAAAGAGUUCCAUAAAAGCUUUGAAGAAAACGAAAAAAAGGCUAACCAGGAUUUAAUGAAUUUUAAUUAUUACCCUUUCUGCAAGAACUCAAUUUCAGCUAGAGGCAUUUCAUGCUGUUGCAAAAAACAGGAAACGCACAAAGCAACAAAUUAUUUUCAAAAUGACAUAAAUUACAUAUAUUGAAUGUAUAUAAAUAAAGUUUAUGCAAUGUAUUGUUGCAAAACAAUGGUGUAUUGCUCAAAUUCAAUUAUUUUUGUAUGCAUAGGACCUGAUCCUAGUGAUGCCUCGCUCAAGCCUGUUCUCCAGUUGCUUAAGCUCCUUUACAGUUAAAGAACUCAGAGAAUCACCCAUCAAAUGCCUAUAUGAAGAGUCAAGAGUGAGAUAACCAAUUGAAAAUUUAUUGAAAUUGUAUAUUUUGGAAUAAUUAAUUAACUACACUUAAUAUGAAAAUAAUUGUUGAUGAAAUAAUUGAAAAUACAUGUUAGAAUUCAGUGACAUUUGAAUUUGCUGCCGCAGCUUUGCUGACUCCUGCUGAUGGUACUGUUUCCAUGGGUCACAUGUAACGGGAGAAGUUAAAUUUUUAUUGGGAACUUUAUAUUUCAAUGCUAGCUAUGUGGUAAUAAAUGAUAAUUAGUUGGUUUUUUUUUUCACCUUUUCAUAAUAAUAUAUAUUCCUAGCAAAGCCUGAAUUUAUAGCUUAAAUUAAUGAAUUACUUACCUGAGCAUUGAUCUCAGUAACAGUGCCAGAAUUUAUUUAUUUUAUAGCUUAAAUUACAUACAUUUACACACGCGCGCGCGCGCGCGCACACACACACACGCUAGGAACAGCAGGUUAUAUUCAUCAAAUUCAUCUAAAAAUAACUAACUAACCAGAUAGCUCAGCUUUUUUUUUUUCCAACUGAAUUUCUGAACUUGGUAGAUUCUCUGCAGGUUUAGCAAUAACCUUCAGGAACUCCAGAUAAUCCGAGUCUUUAUUGUCCACAUCAAAACCAAAUACAGCUGAUUGCUACAGUACUUCUAAAAACAAUAAGAAGAUAAAGAAAAUAAAGGUAACUUUGAAAUUUAGUAGCUUAAGUGUACCGUAAAAGUCAUAGCAUUUCAACCUCAAAAGUACCCUAAGUUUUUUUUUUAAUAAAAAAAUUACCUUUAAAAAUGGUGCCUUCACGGCUAUCAUUUCUAGAACAAGGCUUGGGAACACGUUGAGAUGGAGCAUAUUCAACAACAGCCUUAAACUGAGCACCUAAUCGAGAAACCAAUAACACAUAUAAUCAACCAAACAGAAAGUGCCCUUUUGAUUUAAAACAACAUAAACUCAUUCUUACCAAAUUACGAUUGAUAAGUAAAAGCAAAAGUGUAAGUAAAAUUACCCUUUUCAUUAACAAACAGAUGUAUAUUCAACAACUCCGCAAACUCAAACACAUCCGCAUGCUUCUUCAAUUCUUCAUAUGCUUGUGAAUGCCUCUGAUGCUUGUAAUUGUUAAAAAACUAAAAUCCAAGUUAAAGUAAAAUUUCAAAAAAAAAAAGCCCAAAAAUCAAUCAAUUAUAAAAAAUAAAAAAAUAAAAAAAACCUAAAUUUUCUGGGGCAAAAGUAGAAUCAAUUGUAACGGUCAUUGAAGUGAUCGUGGAAAAGGGCUAACACGUCAUUUUGAGAGAGGGAAAGAGGCAAAUGACGAAUCAAUACUUUGGUUCUCUGCAAUGGCUCCUUCAUUUCAUCGCAUUCAAUUUGUUCCAUUUGUAUUGAAAUCGAAAAUCAAAAAAGAGUUUUGAUUAUUUUGUACCCUAAUUUUUUAUUUGGGUUGAGAAUGAAAUUGGAAUGUUGUUUAUUGGAAAGUUUUAGAUGCACGUAACUGUUGUGUUUUCCUCUAGAGGGGCCUCUGAGCACUCACAAACGGGAGAUUUACCCUUGGGAAACGUCGUCGUGUGGGCGUUCCCUAUGCGGGUAACACGUGUCAAUAAGUUAACGAGAUUCAUAUUUCCUUUCCCGGGGCAACAUCAAUUGAUAUUCCCUCCUUCCCUUCGUAUUACUUUUGGGGAGUCUAGGAAUGUUGUGGAGGCCGUACAGCAGAUAGUCCUCUAUUCAAAUCAAUAUAUACUAAUUAUUUUAGUAUUUUUUAAAAUAUUUAAUAAUUUUUUAAUAAUAUAGUUUUAUAUUAUUUUUAAAUAAAUUUUUAUUUCAUAUUUAUUAUAAAUUAAAUGAAUAAUACAAAUACAAAUAAAAAUAAAAUUUAAUUAUAAAAUAUUUUCUUGUACUUUUUGUUACUUUAAAAUAUUUUUCUUAUAAUGAAUGCAUAUAUUAUAGCUCCAAGAUAAGUUAUUAAGAAAAUUACUCAUUUGCCCUUUUUGUUUUAAUUUUUUUGGGGACGAAAGAGUUUUUAGAUAUUAUAAAAUCAGUAAGAAAUAAGUGAUAUAUAUUAGUUCCAAUAGAAAAAAAAAUUAACAACCUCCUUAAUAAUAAAAGUGACAAAAUAAUGAAAGGCAAAAGAAAGAAAUUGCAUGUUCAUUCAUCUUUUAGAUUCUUUUCUUCUCAACUUUGUAUUUAAACCCUUUUAAAUUCUUUUCUUCUCAACUUUCUAUUUAAUUUUUUUUACAUUCUUUACUUCUCAACUUUCUAUUUAAACUCUUUCAAAUUCUUUUCUUCAAACUCUUUUAGAUUCUUUACUUCUUAACUUUCUGUUUAAACUCUCUUACAUCCUUUACUUCUCAACUUUCUAUUUAAACUUUCUAUUACAUUCAUUAUUCAAUUUAUAAUUUUCAUACCUUAAAUCCUAAAAUUUAAGUCAAGUUUCUUCCCCUUUCUCAUCUCUUCGUACGCAACACAAUCUUUUUAGGUCUCCUCUCUUCGCAAGUAAGUAAAAUCUCAGUUCAUCGCAUCAUCUCACUGUUUGUUUUCAUACUUUGCUUUCUCCAAAUUGCCCUCGCCUUUUCCUCUCAAUCUCAAUUUUUAGUUUUUUUCUUUUGAUUAUAGACUAGAUUUUCUUUACUUUGGUUUGUAAAUUUUAUUGGAUGUACUGCAUAAUCAUGGGUGACCCAAUUAAGGCCCAUGAGGGGUUUUAGCCCCUUCUGAACCAUUAAUUUUUCUUUUAAAUGUACCCCAAGCCUUUUUUCAAAGAAUUAAAUAUUUUGCGAAACUACUUAGAAAAAUGAUACUUUCAUGCCUUUGAAAUAAAUAAUUUGUUACUAUUGUUAUUUAGAAUUUAAAAGAAAGUAAUGAAAUUUGAGUUUAUGAGACUUAAAAUGUAUGGUGUGAACAUUAAAAAAAAACCCAAAUUAAAUAAUUUUUUUUGAAUUAAGUCCCCUUAAUUGAAGUGUUUGGGUCCGCCACUGUGCAUAAUUCAUCAUCGUCAUUUUUUUUCAAUAAUUUCAUAAAACAAGCAGAAUUAAAUUAAAUUAUAUAUCAGCAUGAUUAAUUAAUUAACUGAUGCUGUUUAGAUUCUGAGCUUGAUUAUAUAUCAAUCCAUCAUAUUUUUAUUAAGAUUAUAAAUUUAACUAUAUCGUCGGGGUCCGAAUAAUUUUUAUUUUAAAUAUUUUUUUAAUGAAUUUAUUUAUGUUCGGUUGGAUAAUAUUUAAAGUAAUAACAAAUAUAAGUUUUAAUAGAGUGAAAUUGUAAGGGUAUGGUAACUAAAUUUUCUUUCUUAUUGUUUAACGAUAAAAAGUGAAUUCAAUGUGACGUGGUUUGAUACUGUAAAUGCAUUGCAGGUAAAUUGAAAUUUUUUUUAGGAUGGGAGAAAGAGUGAUUGAUGGCGAUUGGAAGCCUACUUCUCCAUCUAUUGGGGAGCGUACUGUAGUUUUACUUGGCCGUACUGGCAAUGGCAAAAGUGCGACGGGCAAUAGUAUUCUCGGAAGAAAAGCCUUCAAGGCGAGUGCUGGCUCGUCUGGUGUUACUAUAACUUGUGAAAUGAAGACAACCGUGCUCAAAGAUGGCCAAGUUGUUAAUGUCAUUGAUACCCCCGGUAAUUUACUAAUGUUGGUGCCUAGAUAUUCCAUUCCAUGCUUGUUGAUGUUGUGGUGGCAAGGAGAUUGAUGUUAUGAGCCAUUGCAGGGCUUUUUGAUUCUUCCGCUGGCUCUGAGUUUGUCGGCAAGGAAAUUGUCAAAUGUAUUGGUUUGGCCAAGGGUGGGAUCCAUGCAGUCCUUGUAGUUUUCUCUGCUCGAAACCGUUUUUCUCAAGAGGAAGAAGCUGCAGUACACCGUUUGCCGACCUUGUUCGGGAAAAAAAUUUUUGACUAUAUGAUUGCUGUUUUCACUGGAGGGGAUUAUCUUGAAGAUAAUGAGAAAACAUUAGAAGAUUAUUUGGGUCAUGAGUGUCCAAAGCCUUUAAAGGUUUGUUUCUGAACUGCAACAGUGUUCGAUAAUUUCAUUAGUCAUUUUGAUCAAGUUGUCUUUGGUUGGUUCUUUUGUGAAGUUUUAGACUCCUUUACGGUUGGACCAUUGGAAGUUUACUAUGAAUAUAUGCAUGCUGAAAAUACUAGAUAGGUGUAUAGUAGUCCAGCCGUCUUAAAAUUCCAUUUUCAAUAGGGCUUCAUUUCCUGAAUGGUUUUCUUCUGCCAUGCGGGAUAUGCCGGAGAGGUGAUUGGUUGGUAAUUUUCUGCUGGCAUUACUUAAUUUUAGUUAUAUUUUAAUGUCUUUGAAUGAGAUGUCAUUCAUUCAUUUGCUAAGCAUUUAUGCUUUUCUUAUUUGUAUUCUUUGAUUUCCUCUGCUAUUUAAUCUUGGUUCUUAUUCUAUUAACGUGUGUUCAUUCGUUUGUUUCUUAAAAUAUGUACCUCUUUGAUUUAUACGUGAGCUCCAUUUUAUUCGGCGUUGUUUGAAUAAAAUAUCAAGACUAACUUUACAAUAUUUAAAAUUCUCUUAAAAAUUCCUGUGGAUUCUAGCCUCAGAAUUGUUGUCUAAAAUUUCAAUGUGAGAUGUUUUUUCAGUUUCAACAUGCAAAUCUCUUAUUUUCAGAAUGUACUUGAUGAAUUUGGUUUCUAAAAUUUUUUAACUUGAGAAAGAUUUAUAUCAAGUUCUUCUAUUUUACUGCAUACUUGAUUUAACCUAUGAGGAGUGGGAAGAAAAAUAACAAAAAAGAAAAUAAAGACCCUUCAAGUUGUAGCUCUGCAAUUAACAAAAUCGGGUUAUUUUAAGGGAACUUUGUUUUACUUGUUGUACCAAUUUUUGUAGUUUGAAGGUAUCAAUUGUAGAUGCCACAAUUAGGUCAAUUAUGUAGAUGCCACAGAAAAUGUGAUCUUGCCUUUUGGCAGUUUUGAGCUUUGAUCACAAUAAUACAGUCUUUCAUGCUUUGUUCUAUAACGUAAGAAUUUGCCGAGUGAAGAGGCAGCUACUGCUUUGUAGCCACUAAUUUUGAUUGAGUCAAUGCUUUUCACGGGAAUAUAUGCAGAUUAUUAUUAUUAUUAUUAUUAUUAUUAUUAUUAUUAUUAUUAUUAUUAUUAUUAUUAUUAUUAUUAUUAUUAUUAUUAUUAUUAUUAUUAUUAUUAUUAUUAUUAUUAUUAUUAUUAUUAUUAUUAUUAUUAUUAUUAUUAUUAUUAUUAUUAUUAUUAUAUGGAAUGCUGAUCACCUUUUAAGGUCUUUAAAUUUGAUGGACGUAAGAGGUUAUGUAAGUGGUCAAACCAUAAGGAGAAUGGAAUUGAUUAUUAAAUAGUUUCUGAGGAGGCCUGAUAUUAAGUGCUUACGAUCACAAUAAAAACAAAUUUUGUCAGCUUAAUAUCCUCAAACUUUUAGAGACUACAAGUGUUUGAUUGGUUCAUCAAUGCUUACGAAAUGAGCUAACAUUUGCUUUAUUCCUGAUCAUUUUUCCAUUAUUUUAGGAAAUCCUUCAACUAUGUGAUAAUAGGUGCGUGCUUUUUGAUAACAAGACCAAGGAUGAGGCCAAGAGAACUGAGCAGGUUGAGAAGCUUCUUUCUCUGGUUAACUCUGUGAUCGAGCAUAAUGGUGGGCAGCCAUAUACGGACGAGCUCCUUGCUGAGUUGAAGGUGACUUCGUUACUGUCGCGAUUGACUUCUGUGCUGCUUCUUUCUGAAUAUGUCAUGACAAUAUCUCUUUUUCUUUUUUUUUUCUACUCAGAGAGGGGCUACUGAACUCCGUGAUCAACAAGCUGACGUUGAUUCUCUCAAGGAAUAUUCAAAACAAGAAAUUUCAAAGCUAAUGGGCCAGAUGCAGGAAUCAUAUGAAGAUCAAAUCAAACGAAUUACUGAGAUGGUAUUUUUUAUACUCCUUGUUUUGGCAUCAAAAUAUGACAUGCAUAUGUGUUCAUCUCUCAGAUCGGGUAAUCAUUUCUAAAACUGUGUAAUUAAAAAAAUGCCUACAAAGCGUGCAGGUACCUGUAAUGAUAUUCUAAAUUGUUAGAUUUGGAGGUGAUAAAGACUGCCGCUCUGUCCUUACCCCUAGAUUGCUGGAGAUUGCCAUCUGAAAAGAGGCUUUAUCUUGCUAGUUGAUGUGGACCUAUCUGUUAUUAUCUGUUCACUGAUUGCGUUUUGAAGGCUGUAACAUGCUGUUCUUAACUUGAACAUUGUUUGACCGUCCUGCUCUGUUUUGUUUGUUGAUGAAAUUAAGUGGGUUAUUCUAUGGUAGUAGCUAUAGGUGGUUUACUUAUCAUGACUUGCACUUAGGAAUGGAUUCUGCACUUGUUUAGUCAUCAAUCAUGAGAAUAUUUCUUGUAAAACUGUGGAUACUGUUUUCUUGCCUGAAUCUGUGGGAACAAUUGAGAUUAUGACAUAUUCUAAUUUCGUUAAAAACAAAAUAGCCACAUUCAAAAUAAGUUUUCAUGAAAAUAUAGUUAGGCACGUGGAACCUAAUGAAAUGGCUGCAUAGUUUUGAUUUUCCUUUCCACAGUUUUAAUUUAUAGCAAGGCAAUACAAUGAUUCGGAAUUAAGCCAGAUCCUAUUCAACAAGAAUCUGAAUUUGCUGGAACAUUCUGUGUAAUGACUAUAUGUCUGAGGUGCUAAUAAGUUUUAGUCUUCACAUUCCUGGAGUAUGGAAAAAUUAAAAAGUUAGUAGAUUCUUUAAUACUUUAUAUUUUGAAUUUAUGUGUUGAUUUUUUAAAGCUUUUGUUUCUACCAUUUAUCAAUGAUUGAGAGUCUGGAAUUGAUUGAAGUAAGAAUGUUUCGCCGAGUAUGGUGAACUUAGCAACUCCCUUUGCAAUUGGAUUAAACUAAAUUAAUACUCAAGAAUUUGCUUCUCUUAAGUUGGAGUUUUAUAAUACCAAUAACCAUUUUUUUUUUUUGUAUCAUGCUGCUACUCUAGGGCUUAGUAGCAUGUUUUCUGACUGAUAUUGAUGCUUUUUUGAUAGGUUGAGUCUGAGCUCAAAGAGACAACAACUAGGCUCGAACAGCAAUUGGCAGAGGAGCAAGCAGCUCGGUUAAGGGCAGAAGAGGUUGCACAAUUAGCUCAAAUGAAGUCGAUGAAAUUCAAGCUGGGAGUGCUGAGAAGGAGACUGCGGAGCGCCCUAAGAAACCUUAUAAUGGGGAUUGUGCCAGUUUUUGACCUAGUCACCUGCAGGCACAAUGUGCCAUCGGCGUGAAAAUCACCUAAAGUAUAUUUUCUUAUUGUGCCAUUCUUUGACCUAGUCACCUGCAGGCACAAUGGAAAAACCGUAUUGACAUCAAAUGAAGUUUCUUUUAUGGAGCCAUCUAGAAUCUUUUCUUACAUGGUGGAUUCAAAGAGAUCUGAUUCCUUUUCUCCUCAUUGAGCUCUUAACGAACGCUGUAUUGUGUCCACAUUUGUAGCAGAUACAACCCAAAAUGUGCCCUUCUAAUAAUCAUGACUUUCCCAAAAAUUCAAACAGACUAACAGAGCAAACCUAACAUCCAAGAGACUUGCAAUAAAACCACCAAGCCUAUGACCCUUCUUUGAUUCACACCAUACUUCAACUAGCUCAUGGUCUAGGUUUAUCAAGUACAAUAUUUAUUAUGAAUGUAUGACACAAUAUUUAUUUACCUUGUACAUAAUGCAAACCCAUCGACAUCAUACAGCAUCAGUUAAAUAGAUAUUAAGUUUCAGCUUGAUAACUGGUCUCCCGAGAAGAAGAUGCCAAUGAUAAGUCAGAGUAAGUAAUUAGGUUACACAUAAACUUAUCCGGUUUCAUAUAUUGCAGGUUUCAAAAAUAGGAGUCCAGUAGCACACACAUUCAGUAGAUAAUGAUAGGCUGAUCGUAGAUCUCGCAGUACGAGAUGCCACAAGCUUGAUCGCCAGCAUCUAGCUUACCUGCAAACGGGAGAAAACAUUGAUGCAUGCGCAACACGGUUUCGCAGAAAUGAAAUGUGAUGGGAGAAUUACUUACGCGAGAUGGAGUAUCUUAUUGUCUGGGUGAGAGUAGGCAGUGCCGCCACCCUCGAUGAUAUCAGGACUGAAGAAAUUCCGAGAAGCUAAUGCAUGGAUUGCAUUCAGCUCUUGCCCAGUCACCGUGUUUGCUUGCUGAAACCUCUCCAUUUCUGCUAUCUGAGUUUCAGAAACAAUGAAAUUUGAAUAACGUGCUGAAAUUUUGGAAGAGGGAGAGAAAAAAUGCAUUAUACAUACAACGGACUGAUUUGCAUACCUUUGAUCGGAGACACACGCUUUCAUUUUCCAGCUCAAUCUCCUAUGAAAAUGAAAAUGUUAAAGAGUUCCAUAAAAGCUUUGAAGAAAACGAAAAAAAGGCUAACCAGGAUUUAAUGAAUUUUAAUUAUUACCCUUUCUGCAAGAACUCAAUUUCAGCUAGAGGCAUUUCAUGCUGUUGCACAAAACAGGAAACGCACAAAGCAACAAAUUAUUUUCAAAAUGACAUAAAUUACAUAUAUUGAAUGUAUAUAAAUAAAGUUUAUGCAACGUAUUGUUGCAAAACAAUGGUGUAUUGCUCAAAUUCAAUUAUUUUUGUAUGCAUAAUGAAAUUAAUUAAUUACCUUCUUGGACCUGAUCCUCGUGAUGCCUCACUCAAGCCUGUUCUCCAGUUGCUUAAGCUCCUUUACACUUAAAGAACUCAAAGAAUCACGCAUCAAAUGCCAAUAUGAAGAGUCAAGAGUGAGAUAACCAAUUGAAAGUUCAAUUGAAAUUGUAUAUUUUGGCAUAAUUAAUUGACUAUGCUUAAUAUGAAAAUGAUUGUUGAUGAAAUAAUUGUAAAUACCAGUUAGAAUUCUGUAACAUUUGAAUUUGCUACCGCAGCUUCACUGAUUCCUGCUGAUAGUACCGUUUUCAUGGGUCAAAUAUAAUGGGAAAAGUUAAUUUUUUAUUAGGAACUUUAUAUUUCAAUGCUAGCUAUGUGGUAACAAAUGGUAACACUACUAGAAAAAUGGUCUUUACUGACUUUAGAAUAGUGUCAGAAAUUACUUUCACUGACACUUGUUAAUUAUGUCAGUAAUCUGGGAGUUAGAAAAAUAGUAACACUUGUAAGUGGUGUCAGUGAUUACUAUUACUACAGUAUCACCGAUAUUAUGACACCAUAAUGUUAGUAGUUAUUGAUAUUUUAUUAGUGUCUAUGAUUACUGUUACCAUGGUAUCACUAGUUAAUUUAUUUUUUAAAAAAUAAAAAAUUAAAUUGGAUCAUUGCCUAUUGAUUUAUUUGUAAAAUUAAAAGCACCACAAAAUAACAAAAAUAAAUUGAUUUAUAUCACAAAAUCUUUCAUUUCACAUUUAAAUAUUAUUAGUAUAUAUUACAAAUUGAACUUCAAUAGCCAAAAUAUGACAUAUCCUACUCUCAUAACUAAAUAAUCCAAAUUCAAUACAUAAAAAUUUUUAACAUCCAAUCAAAUGCGUACUACUUGUGGCUAAAUUUAAUAAAUCUAGAAGUUAAAUUGAGAAUGAUGACUAUCUUUCACACUUUGAAUAUGAGUAGUAUAAUUGCGUUAUCACACCAGCAGCUUCUCCAUUCAAUAGACUGAAUGGGUUAUGAUACAAGUGAAGUUGAGGAAUAAACACUUCAAACACAUUGAGCAAAUCUGCAUACAUCGAAAAGGGAGAAAAAAUUAGCUGCCAAUUCCCAACCAUUAGAGAAACAAUGGUUAGUAUAAAUAAAUCUAUUUUGUUCUAAAGAAAAAAUAUUCAUACACUAUUUAUAAGUAAACUCAAUUAUUUCAAAGAAAAAUUAGUGAACAAGGAAGUUGUAGUUUAUUUCCUUAAAAAUACCAAAGAAAUACAGUUUAUUCAACUACAGAUAUAAAUAAGAAAAAAGGGAGUCAAUGAUUAUUCUCUUUUGGUAAGGUUAUUUAUAAUAAGUUAAUGACUCUAAAUAGAGUAAGAACGAUAACUAGGUAAAAAUACAAUUACUUGUUGAAAAUUAGUCACUAGAUUCCCAGUAACUACAUCAUAAUGUUGAGCAAUUAAUUACUAAGGCAUCAGCCAAGUAGUUAGUGUAGGGGGACUGACUUCAUUCAUUCCCUUAAAGAAAUCCAAUAACCUUGCUACCUCCUUAUUUAUAUGCAUACUUCCAAUGUUUAAUUAUUUUGCUAUAGAGAAAGAAAGUUAAUAGAAAUGACAAACUGAUAGCGUUUCUGCAAUUUUCAGAUAAUCACACAGAGCAUUUCUUUUAUAAAUUAACCGUCUACUUGAUCGUAGCAGAGAAAAAAACACAAUAAAAGCUAAAUCUUUACCUUCUUGUUUCUUCCAAGUAGCCAAAGAAACAUAGAAGCUCUUCUCCAAGUCACUUAUUUAAACCUAAAAGAACAAUUAAAACAAAAAAAAAUCAAGAUCUAAUGACAAUAAGAGAGACCCGAAAUCAUAAAAUAAGAAAAGAAACAAGAAGUUAGGAUUUUGAAGGCAAAUGGUGAACCUGUGCCACCGGUUUGACAGGAUCAUGGCUGAGCACUUUUUGACAAUAUAUGUAUAUUUUUUUGGUAGGCAGCUAGUGCUAACCGCCUACUCAACAUUUAUAAUUCAGAGCAAGUUAUUCCAUCCUAGGCAACCACAGAAGCUCCAUCACAAAUAUUCCCCAAGUCUUUCAAGGAUCCAGAAACUAAAAUUACUUUUGGAACUCAAGAAGAGUGUGAAAAUAAUCGAAAUAAAAAGCUCUCAAGUGUGGAAAACUAGCAGAGAAACCAAGUUGCUUAAACUCUUGUUCAGUCCUGUGUUUACCUUUGGCCUUGUAGAUGGUCAUAACAAAAUGUCCCCUUCUAAGAGAGCACGAGUCCUCUGACUUUCGUUUGAAUCAUCAGGCAGCACAGGCUCGCAAGCAAUCAGUUUUCCUCCUGCCGGAAGAGCCUUGUAACAGUUCUCCAUUAUCAGCUUGCAUUCAUCAUCAGUCCAUGGAGUUAAAACCCACUGAAAAGAAAAGAGGCAAAUCAACCAAUUUUUUUUUUUUUUUUGCGUAUGUUAACAUUAGAAGCAUAAAAUCAAAAGAAAAGUAUAAAAGUAUGAAAGUAUAGUCUGUCAAGAAUGAUUUAUUUUGACAUUGGAAAAACAAAAUGAUAUUUAUCAGGAGGUGAAACAACUUAUAAAAAUACUCUAGCAUAUAACUUGAAACUUCACUAUGAUAGUUAUCAAUUUGAUUAGUUUCUCAAUUUGCAUUUUGUUCUUCCAGAUAAUGGUCAAAGGGUAGUGGAUUAACACGGAGACAACUAUUAACCAUGAUCUCCAUUUACAUGGUUAACACUAUUCAAAAUACACAACUAAGGGACAAGAUAUAUAUAACCUGCAAUUUAAUCCUCACCUAAUGGCUAAUAUUUUCUCAUCAGUAUAAUAGACUGAAAUGAAACCUAUCAUGUGUUCAACUAAUUUAAUUUGCAUCAAUCAAAACAACUUCUUUUUCUCCAGCUUUCUGUCUCCCCCGACACAUUCUAAAGUAAAUGAAGGCAGUAAAUAGGUGUUGUGGCAAAUAAUCCCAAACCUUCCAAAGUAAUGACCAUUGUUAGAUGACCAGCUCUGACAAUCGACGAUAUAUAGUAUAUUCCACAAGAAACUACUAGUUGUUAAGGAGAAAUUUUUAACUCAAACAGAGUUGUACAGCUAUGUGACUAGUGAGAGAGAGAAAGAAAGAAAGAAAGAAAGAGAAAUAAGCCAAACAUAUAAACAAGAAAUUUCAUAAUAGCUAAAAUCAUUUGCAGCAUGUAGGAUACAUAAUAGCUCAUAGCCUUCACUCUUACCUAAUCAAGGCCAACACCAUGAAUCUCCAUCAUUAUGAAAACAUAAAUCUCUAAUUUCACAUAGUCAAAGAAAAGAAAUAAAAUGUGAACUCAAAAGAACUCACCAGUGAUACUAUCUAGAAUAGUUAUAAACAUAUUACAAUAUAUCAACUGGAAAAAUAUUUUUCUGUAUAAAAAGCAUCUUCUAUAUAGCAAGGACAAUGCGUAUAUAAAAUGAUCCAACAAAUUGCACAAAAGUAUAGAAGUUUGGAAGAGUCCUUAUCAGGAUACAAGAAUCAGCAAUUACAUACCUCGAGCCCCUCAUCUUGCUCCCAAGCAAGGCCGGGACCAUUAUACAUAUUCUUGAUGAGCAGAGUUCACAAUUUAUCAGGGUAAAAAUGAACUCUGCUGCAUCUCUGACCAAACCGACAAGCUCCAGUCUUCAAAUGGAAAGGACAAUGAGCUUUAUCCUGCCAUAUAUAAUAAAAACAUGAUUGACCAUGAUAAACAUGCAAAUAUAAUAGAAAUGAAAUAUAAUACAGUAAUUGCAAAUUGAAAAUUUCAGAUAGAUAGAUUGAAAGAAAAGGCAUGCCUGUUCAGUUCCAAAAUUGGGCACUUGUUGAGCAACAGUCUCCAACGCCUGUUGUGCAUUCUGGUGAUCAGAAAAGGCUUCUGAUUGUCUGGGCAGAGGAUUUGAUGUAGGCUUAUCAACAUCUGUAAAGGAAGUAAUAACGUAGAAAGUUUAAUUUUUUCCAUAACCGAAGAGAAUGGGCAUCUUGAAGUAAAGUAGAAACAAGCCUAACAUAGCUGUCAAUAGAGUCAAAAUUACCUCUUUUUUACUUAGUGGGUUCGCAUCAUUCUUCGGAACUCUGACCUUUUUCUUCCUGAUAAUAAUCUCAUUUCCUUGCCAUAUAAUUUCUGCAGGCCCUUCUUCAACAUAUUCCCAAUCAUCAUCCUCAUCACAUUCAUUCUCCUUUCGCCUCUAAAUUCGCGAUGCUUCGAGAACACGCCAUAGUUGCUGAGCAAGCGGAGGAUACGUUGCAAGUUCUCGGCGUCCCCAUCGCCGGAUGGGAGGAUACGUGUCAAGAUCUGGGAGGCGGAGAGAGGGGUGUUGGCCCCACCUUGCCAGAUAGCAUCCGGUAUGUGGAGACGGAUGGCAGCGGUUAGAGACAUGGGAACACUUAUCAUGUUGGCCAGAUCCAUUAUGGCCAGUCUUACCUUCUUCCCGCCAUCUCUGCACUCGUUAUCUUCUAUUACUGCUUACUGACCUUUGAUUUCGCAGCACCAUGCCGGCCAAACAAAAAGAUAAGACCUGAGCACUUUUUGACAAUUUGGAUGUUAGGGAUUUUUCAGAUCUGGGGAGCUUAGGAGGGAAUGAAUACUUUGGUAGAGGGAGUUGAAAAGUUGUAUUUUGGAUAAGACAAGACUUGUCCAUUUGUUUUGUUUUUAUCCACUAAAAAAGCACAACUCUAAAAAAAAUUAAAAAUAAUUCGUAGCCUAGUGGCCUUUUGAUUCAAUGUAGAAGCUCUAGGUUUAAGAGGUCUUGGGUUCGAAUUCAGACUAAAACAAAAUUAAAAUGAUAAUUUUUAAUUGCUGAUACAUAAACGUCAGUGACCGCUAUUAUUAAAGCUAUUGAUACUUCAGUAUUAGUAAUUAGUGAUACAUAUUUGUUAAAUGCGGAAAAUGAUCCAAAUAUAUGUAUAUACUGACACUUUUAAAUAAAGUGUCAGACCACAAGUAUCGGUAAAGACUAUUUUUCUAAUAGUGUAAUUAGUUGGUUUUUUCUUUUUUUUUUCUUUUUUUUCACCUUUUCAUAAUAAUAUAUGUUCCUAGCAAAGCCUGAAUUUAUAGUUUAAAUUAAUGAAUUACUUACCUGAGCAUUGAUCUCAGUAACAGUGCCAGAAUUUAUUAAUUUUGUAGCUUAAAUUGCAUACAUUUAUGCACACACACACUAAGAACAACAUGUUAUAUUCAUCAAUUCAUCUCAAAAUAACUAACUAACCAGAUAGCUCAGCUUCUUUUCUUUCCAACUGAAUUUCUGCACUUGGUAGAUUCUCAGCAAGUUUAGCAAUAACCUUUAGGAACUCCAAAUAAUCCGGGUCUUUAUUAUCCACAUCAAAACCAAAUAUGACUUAUUAUUGCAAUACUUUUUUUUUUAACUGAUUAAGCAUCAGGUUACUGUAUUACACAGAGAUAUAUACAACUGCUAUGACUGCAGGUCAUUACACUGAUAUUUACAAUCAGAUAUAUAUAUAUGGGACUUACAUUAUUACAUUUUUAGUCUAUGAAGCACAUGCCCAACCAAAUACCCCUUACGGAGGAGGGAUGUCUCUACUCCACUCGCAUUUCGCAAGGGAGAAAGACAUUAUAAGUAGUCUCCACACAAUUAUAUUUAAUUGAAGGAGGUUGAGUCUGUAGGGACUCGAACCAUUGCCCUCAUAGUCAUGUUUAACUUUGAGGGCAAUGGUUCACCACUGGGCUACAAGCCCAAGUGGCAUUACUGCAGUACUUCUAAAAAUAAUAAGAAGAUAAAGAAAACAAAGGUAUUCUUGUAAUUGCUGUGCUUUUACUUAACUUUGAUAUUUAGCAGCUUAAGUGUACAGUAAAAGCCACAGUACUUCAACCCCAAAAGUGCCCUAAGUUUUUUUUUUUAAAUAAAAAGAAUCACUAUAACAUAUGCACUUUAAUUUUCCUAAUUAAGUGUAUUAUUUAAUUUUUUCCCUUCGAUAUUAAUUUUAAAUUUGUCAUGACAUAAAAUUGAGACAAUUCAAACACGAUUCAAUGGCCGUGUAGUUGGAUUUUAUUUCAACACGUGUCCAGCAUUAGCUUAAUUAGUAGUAAUCUUUAAAAAAAAUUAAUUUCUAUAAAUGGAAGGGAGGGAACUAAUUUUCAAAAGAGAAAAGAGAGAGGGGCACGCGAGAGAGAAGGAGAGAGAGAGAGAGAGAAAUUGACCCGUUUAGCCCGACUCGACCCACGAGACCAACCCGGGUCCAACUCUCGUUUCCAGCCACCGUUCCGGUCAAGCUUGGUACUGAUCUGAAGCUUGAGUGACGCCGGUCAAAUCCCCGCUGUCAUCGUCACUGGAAAACAGCCAGAACGCCGGUGAUUGAAGCUUGAAAGACCGCGGCUCAAUCCAUUUUCGUCGCCGUCAAUCUCGCCAGAAUUAGGUUGCACCACCGGCUGCUUUCGAUUCCUAUCACCAGCUUUUAUUUCCGACCAACCUCGCCACCUGAAACUUCCGUUUUGGCUGUGAACGACCGCUAGAAAGCUCACAGCUUUGGGAGCACGAUUCGCCGCCAUUGCCGCACGUGGAAGGUCACCGCCAGCACCAUUGGACUCAUCGAGAUCAGAACUAUCAGACUUGAGCUUCCCGUCACCGUUAGCUGAAUUCCGGUCACCGUUGACCGGUGGGGGCAUUUCGGUAAUUUCACAAGACUUUAGGGGGAAUUUGUAAUUUGUGGAAUCGGUGGAUAAUUUGGUAAUUUUAGGUUAGGGCAGUGAGGUAAUUUGAGACUUCAAGGGUAAUUCGAUAAUUUAAAUUAUUAACGACAUUAUGGUAAUUUCGCACUUUGAGGGUAAUUUCGUAAAUUCAAAACUUGUGAUUAAUUUUGUUAUCUGAAUUGAGGACAAUUUGGUAAUUUAAGAUGUUAAGGAUGAUUCGAUAAAUUAUGAUUUCGAUGGUAAUUCGGUAAAUUUUGGUGUCAAGGGCAUUUUGGUAAUUUUUGGACAUAAGGAUAAUUUUGAAAUUUUAUGUAUCCGGGAGUUUGAUUUUGAGCUUUAUUACGUACUGUUAGUCGUACUUCAUGAUACAAAUAAUAAUUAUGUCGUUUAUUUAAUUAGGAGGACCCACGAGCGAGAAUCAACCCGCGGACGUUUAUAGUACCGAGUCUGGAUAUCGUCACUGUGAGUGGAAUAUACAAAAUUUAUUUUCAUAGUAUAUUCUAAUUUUACCAUACAGUACAACAUAUUUUGAUAAUAAGUAUUUGAUGCUUCGAUUUAAUGAUUUUCUAGAAAAUUAAAAUUUAUUCUACGUGCUGAUAUUUAUUAUUAUUAAAAAUGAGUUUGAUUAAUGAUUUUAUUAUCAUUUUUUGAGAAAAUGCAUAAUAUUAGAAUUGAGUGGAUUUGAGAUAUAUUGAAUAAAAAGGAAAUGAGAUUUCAAAUGUGAUUACAUGUUUAUGUACAUGUGUAUAAAAGGUUGUUUGGAAAAUCAUUGGACAGUACCCUUCCCCUUCAGAUACAGAGAUACAUAUAAUAUGAGAUGAAUACAGUGAUAUAGAUGAUAUGAGAUGAGAGGCCUUUGGGGUCGUCUGAACACACAUAAAGGCUUUGGGCCGUGUGUUUGGGCGCUUUUGCCUUUUGGGGGCUUAUGCAUGCAGUAUGAUGAUUACAAAGAUACAUAUGUUGAGAUAUAUGAGAUAUGAGAUGACAUUUUCUAGUCUAUCCAUUGUAGCUCCGGUAUGAUGGUUCCUUGAUUGCCCGUCCGUCGAGGUCCGGAUAUGAUGAGAUUAUUCCCCUAGGUACUUGUUUGGUGAUAGUUUUUGGUAUUAAGUAUUUGAUAUUAUAAGUAUUAUGAUUUCAUUGAUUUUAUGCAGAUUUAUGUAAUACUGUUAUUUCAGUGCAUGAUUUGAAUUAAAUAAGUUUAUGUAAGUUCUUAUGAUAUUUUGAUGAAAUUAAUUUGGAAAAGAUUAAAUCAUUUUAAAUAAAUUUAUUUUUUCAAAAACUAUUAUCCACUCACUGAGCUUACUGAGUUUUAUACUCACUCCAUUUUUAUUAUAUUCCCCCUCCCCCCACAGGAGAUUUGCAGGUACAUCAGUGACCCAGUAAUGAUAGUUAGAUUGAAAUUAUGGCCACGUGAUGAUGUUAGGAAUCAUAGAUGUUUUGUUGAGACAUUUUGAAUUGGAUAAUUUAUUACUUAUUUGUGAUUAAGGAUAAACUAUUGUAUUCUUAACAUUAUAUGUUUGAAGGAUACUGGUAUUUAAAUUGAGGAAGUUGGUUGUGGAGGUUGAUUAAAUAUUGUAUUAUUUUUUGGGAGUGUUUAUUGUAUAAAUUGCAGAUUUGGGGAUGUCAUAAUUAUAUAGGAGACUUUGUCGCAUUUUUGGUAGAAUUCUUAGAUAUCAGAAUUAUUAUUAAUUUGAUCAAUUGAGAUUAGAUAGACUCGUCUUGGAAAUUCGAGGCGGAUCGUUUCAAUUACCUUUAAAAAUGGUGCCUUCACGACUACCCUUUCUAGAACAAGGCUUGGGAACAUGUUGAGAUGGAGCAUAUUCAACAAUAGCCUUAAACUGAGCCCCUAAUCAAGAACCCAAUAACACAUAGAAUUAACCAAACAGAAAGUGCCCUUUUCAUUUGAAACAACAUAAACACAUUCAUACCAAAUUAAGAUUGAUAAGUAAAAGCAAAAGGGUUAGCAAAAUUACCCUUUUUCAUUAACAAACACAUGUCCAUUCAACAACUUAGCAAACUCAAACACAUCCUAAAUUUUCGGGCGAACGCGGAACCAAUUGUAACCGUCAUUGAAGUGAUCGUGGAAAAGGGCUAAAAGGUCAUUUUGAGAGAGGGAAAGAGACAAAUGACAAAUCACUACUUUGGUUCUCUACAAUGGCUCCGUCAUUUCAUUGCAUUCAAUUUGUUCCGACUGUAUUGAAUUCAAAAAAUUGAAAAAGAGUUUUGACUACUUUGUACCCUAAUUUUCAAUUUGGGUUGAGAAUGAAAUUGGAAUAUUGUUUAUUGGAAAGUUUUGGACACACAUAACCGUUGUGUUUUCCUUUGGAGAGGCCUUUGAGCACUAACAAGAUUCAUUUUUCGUUGCCCGGGACAAAGGGCAAUUGACAUUCCUCAUUUCCCUUAGUAUUUACUUAUGGGGAGUUUAGGCCAUCUCCAAUGUGACAUCAAAACUAACAGCAAAUCACCUUUUACAUUAUUUUUGGUGUACAAUGCUUCUCCAAUGUAACACCAAAACCAACACCAAAAUGAUGUUUGAAUAGUAUUGCACCAAAAAUGGUGCAAUACUAUUCAUUUGGUGCUAGGAAAAAAAGUCCCAAAUAUUAAGAUGAAAAUUUUAUAUUUCAAGCAGUUCUUUUUUCACUUACUGCUGUACGGCCAAGGCGGAUGUACGGUACAGCAGAUAAUAUUUUAAGUUAUUAUUAUUAUUUUUGUUAUUAUUUUUAUUUUAUUUUUAAUUUUUGAAUAUUAUACUAAUAUUUUAAAUAAAGAAAUAUUCAACAAAAAAAUUAAUAAUAAAAAUAAAAUUCCAAUAACAUUAAUUACUAGAUUACAUAUUACAAAGUUAAAAAUACAAAAUUAAAUUAACACAAAAUUAAAAAAGCUACUACUACCAGCAUAAAUUAGAACAAUUAUUUAAUAAUAUGGGAGAUCAUUAUUAGAUCUUCCAAUAUCAUCAAAAUAUUGGCCAAUAUUAUUGGAAAUAUUUUGAGAUGCUUGGCCUUGCGGAGACCUUCUCUGCAAAAUCUUAAUUUGUUCAUUUUGAAAAUAUUGACGUAAGCUCGAAUCACUUAUCGAAUUUAAAUCUUGAAGUAAAAUUUUGUUUUCUUCACGAUAUGUGACCAUCUCCAAUUUUUUUUCUCAUUUUGGGCUCGUAUCAUUUGAAUUUGAUAAUUUUGUUGCCUAUCUUCACUGCCUUUUUUGAGAAUUUCAUAUAGUCAUCGAUGGUCUUCUUUAAUAGUAUCAAUAACUAGUGAAUUUUGAUCUUCAACUUUCCUUUUUCCUUUUGCCUUCAGAAUGUCUCGAAGUUUAUUCAGUCGUAUUACUAAUGCCGUGCAAGGUCAUGACAACUAUUUUAUGUAGCGAAGGGAUGGCGUUGGCAGACUUGGGUUAUCUGGUCUUCAAAAUAUCACUGCCGUAUUUAGGAUGUUGGCAUAUGACAUGCUAGCAGAUGCUAUUGAUGAGUAUAUUAAAAUUGGAGAGUCUACAACAAUUGAAAGUUUGAAGAGGUUCUGUCGUGCAAUUGUGGAAGUUUUUGCAAAGCAACAUCUUAGAUCACCCAACGCUAAUGAGGUCGCCAGGCUACUCCAUGUUGGUAAAGAACGUGGUUUUCCAGGAAUGUUAGGUAGCCUAAAUUGCAUGCACUGGAAGUGGAAAAAUUGUCCAACAGCUUGGGCUGGACAAUAUGCUGGUCGUAGUGGAACCCCAACUAUUAUUUUGGAGGCUGUAGCUAAUUAUGAUCUUUGGAUAUGGCAUGCACAUUUUGGUUUGCCUGGUUCAAAUAAUGAUAUUAAUGUGUUGGAGGCAUCCUAUCUUUUUGCCAACCUCGCUUCAGGUAUUGCUCUUCCUGCUCAUUAUGUUAUUAAAGGGAACGAAUAUAAUAUGAGUUAUUAUUUAGCUGAUGGUUUCUACCCAAAAUGGUCUACUCUUGUACAAACUAUCAAUGAUCCAUGUGGUCAUAAAAAAACAUUAUUUGCCAUGAAACAAGAAGCAUGUCAGAAAGAUGUAGAACGUGCAUUUGAAGUCCUUCAAUCACGUUUUGCAAUUGUUGCUGGACCAUCACGCUUUUGGAACAAACAUGUGUUACAUGAUAUAAUGAUUGCUUGCAUUAUUAUGCACAAUAUGAUAAUUGAAGAUGAACGUAAUGUUAAUGCAACAAUUAAUGAUUGGAUGUAAGCACCAAUACCAACAAUUGAUAUGAGGGUAGAUGAGAGUACUAGAUUUCAAGAAUUUAUUGCUCGACACAAAAAAAUCAAGGAUAAAGAGGCUCACCUUAUACUCCGAAAUGCACUAAUUAAUCAUUUAUGUGAUGAAUUUAGUAAUUCGAAUAACUAGAGUAUUAUUAUUGUUAUCGUAUUUUUUUAUAUUAAUGUAAUGUUUAAUUUUCAUAAUGCACUAAUUUAGUUAAUUAAAGGCAAAUUUAAUAAUUUUCUAUUUUUUUUGUUAAUCGAUAUAAAAUUACUUAAUACUUAAUCUAUAUUAAUAGUAAUAUUUAGUGUGUUAAUUGAAUUAAUUCUUGAGAAUUAAAAGAAGAAAAAGAAGAAUAUUCUUUUUGGUAUAAAAUUUGGUGCAAAUGGGUUGGAGAUGAAAUAGUAAUUUGGUGUGAAAAAAGUAAAUUUUUGGUGUUGGUGUUACACCAAAAUGGUGUUAAAGCAUUGGAGAUGCCCUUAGGGGCCUUGACGUAUAAAAUGACCAAGAAGCCCCUAUGUAGUAUGAAUAUGCUGAUUUAAUAAAGAAAGAUGAUCAAUAAUAUUAAUAAUGGGAAAUUGUAAGCUCUCCUUUAUACAAAUCAAUAUAUAUUAAUUACUUUAGUAUUGCUUUUGUAAUGCACACUAGUUUUUUAUUAGUAUAAUUUUAUAGAAUAAUUUUUAUUUUUAAAUAAAUUUUUAUUCAUAAUUAUCAUAAAUUUAAUUUUUUAUUAGUAUAAUUUUUAUUUUUAAAUAAACUUUUAUUCAUAAUUAUUAUAAAUGAAAUGAAUUUUUUAUAUUAUAAAACUAGUAAUAAAUAAGUGAUAUAUAUUAGUUCUAAUAGAAAAAAAAUUAACAACUUCCUUAAUAAUAAAAGUGACGAAAUAAUGAAAGGCAAAAGCAAACUCUUUUAGAUUCUUUUCUACAUCUCAACUUUCUAUUGAAAAAAGUAAAUUUUUGGUGUUGGUGUUACACCAAAAUGGUGUUAAAGCAUUGGAGAUGCCCUUAGGGGCCUUGACGUAUAAAAUGACCAAAAAGCCCCUAUGUAGUAUGAAUAUGCUGAUUUAAUAAAGAAAGAUUAUCAAUAAUAUUAAUAAUGGGAAAUUGUAAGCUUUCCUUUAUUCAAAUAAAUAUAUAUUAAUUACUUUAGUAUUACCUUUAUAAUGCACAAUAAUUUUUUAUUAGUAUAAUUUUUAUUUUUAAAUAAACUUUUAUUCAUAAUUAUUAUAAAUGAAAUGAAUUUUUUAUAUUAUAAAACUAGUAAUAAAUAAGUGAUAUAUAUUAGUUCUAAUAGAAAAAAUAUUAACAACUUCCUUAAUAAUAAAAGUGAUGAAAUAAUGAAAGGCAAAAGAGGGAAAUUGCAUGUUCAUUCCUCUUUUAGAUUCUUUUCUUCUCAACUUUCUAUUUAAACUCUUUUAUAUUCUUUACUUCUCAACUUUCUAUUUAAACUCUCUUAUAUUCUUUUCUUCAAACUCUUUUAGAUUCUUUUCUACAUUUCAACUUUCUAUUUAAACUCUCUUAUAUUCUUUUCUUCAAACUCUUUUAGAUUCUUUUCUACAUUUCAACUUUCUAUUUAAACUCUCUUAUAUUCUUUUCUUCAAACUCUUUAGAUUCUUUUCUACAUCUCAACUUUCUAUUGAAACUCUCUUACAUCUUUUAUUUCUUAACUUUCUAUUUAAACUCUCUUACAUCCUUUACUUCUCAACUUCCUAUUACAUUCAUUACUCAAUUUAUAAAUUUCAUACCUUAAAUCCUAAAAUUUAAAUCAAGUCUCUUCCCCUUUCUCAUCUCUUCAUACGCAAUGCAAUCUUUUUUGUUCUCCUCUCUUUGCAAGUAAGUAAAAUCUUAGUUCAUCGCAUCAUCUCACAGUUUGUUUUCAUACUUUGCUUUCUUCAAAUUGCCCUCGCAUUUUCCUCUCAAUCUCAAUUUCUGGUUUUUUUGUUUGUUGUAGACUCGAUUUUCUUUACCUCGGUUUGUAAAUUUUAUCGGAUGUAAUGCAUAAUCAUGGGCGACCCAAUUAAUGCCCAGGAGGGGCUUCAGCCCCUUUUAGGCCAUUAAUUUUUCUUUUAAAUGUACCCCACGCCCUUUCUAAAAGAAUUAAAUAAAAAAAUUUGGACACAUAUUUUAUGUAACAAAAGACUUAUGGUUCAAUGAUAAGAGUGCUAUUUGAUGGUUUUAAAGUCCUGGUUUAAAUCCCAAUAGCCACAUUAUUUUGUUUCUUUUUAUAAAUAGUUUUUGAAAAUUACUUAGAAAAAUGAUACUUUUAUGCAUUUAAAAUAAAAAGUUUAUUACUAUUAUUAUUUAAAAUUUAAAAGAAAAUAAUGAAAUUUGAGUCUAUGAGAUUUAAAAUGUAUUCAUGUGAACAUUAAAAAAAAACCCCAAAUUAAAUAAAAUGUUUUGAACUAAUCCCCCUAAUUUAAGUAUCUGGGUCCGCCACUAUGCAUAAUUGAUCGUUGUCGUUUUUUUUUCAAUAAUUUCGUGAAACAUGCAUAAUUAAAUUAAAUUAUACAUCAGCAUAAUUAAUUAAUUAACUGAUGCUGUUUAGAUUCUGUGCUUGAUUAUAUAGCAAUUCAUCAUAUUUUAUUAUGAUUAUAAAUUUAACUAUAUGGUCGGGGUCUGAGUGAUUUUUAUUUUUAAUUUUUUUAAUGAAUUUAUUCAUGUUCCGUUGGAUAAUAUUUAAAGUAAUAUCAAAUAUAAGUUUUAAUGGAGUGAAAUUGUAUGGGAAUGGUAACUAAGUUUUCUUUCUUAUUCUUUAAUGAUAAAAAUUGAAUUCAAUGUGAAAGUGGUUUGAUAUUGUAAAUGCAUUGCAGGUAAAUUGAUUUUUUUUUUAGGAUGGGAGAAAGAGUGGUUGAUGGCGAUUGGAAGCCUACUUCUCCAUCUAAUGGGGAGCGCACUGUGGUUUUACUUGGCCGUACUGGCAAUGGCAAAAGUGCGACGGGCAAUAGUAUUCUCGGGAGAAAAGCCUUCAAGGCGAGUGCUGGCUCGUCUGGUGUUACUAAAACUUGUGAAAUGAAGACAACCGUGCUCAAAGAUGGCCAAGUUGUUAAUGUCAUUGAUACCCCCGGUAAUUUGCUAAUGUUGGUUCCUAGAUAUUCCAUUCCAUGCUUGUUGAUGUUGUGAUGGUAAGUAGAUUGAUGUUACGAGCCAUUGCAGGACUUUUUGAUUUGUCUGCUGGCUCUGAGUUUGUCGGCAAGGAAAUUGUCAAAUGUCUCGGUAUGGCCAAGGAUGGCAUCCAUGCAUUCCUUGUAGUUUUCUCUGUUACAAACCGUUUUUCUCAAGAGGAAGAAACUGCAGUACACCGUUUGCCGAACUUGUUCGGGAAAAAUGUUUUUGACUAUAUGAUUGUUGUUUUCACUGGAGGGGAUGAUCUUGAAGAUCAUGAGAAAACAUUAGAAGAUUUUUUGGGUCAUGAGUGUCCAAAGCCUUUAAAGGUUUGUUUCUGAACUCUUAUAGUGUUCGAUAAUUUCAUCAGUCAUUUUGAUCAAGUUGUCUUUGGCUGGUUCUUUUGUGAAGUUUUAGACUCCUUUACGGUUGGACUAUUGGAAGUUUAAUAUGAAUAUAUGCAUGCUGAAAAUACUAGAUAGCUUUAUAGUAGGCCAGCCGUCUUAAAGUUCCAUUUUCAAUGGUGCUUCAUUUCGUGAAUGGUUUUCUUCUGCCAUGCGGGAUUGGCCGGAGAGGUGAUUGGUAAUUUUCUGCUGGCGUUACUUAAUUUUACUUAUACGUUAUUGUCUUCGAAUGAGAUAUCAUUCAUUCAUUCGCUAAACAUUUUUGCUUUUCUUAUUUGUAUUCUUUGAUUUCCUCUGCGAUUUAAUCUUGGUUCUUAUUCUAUUAAGGUGUGUUCAUUUGUUUGUUUCUCAAAAUAUGUACCUCUUUGAUUUAUACGCUCAAAAUUAACCUACUUUUAAGAUUUUAAAAGUGGCCCAAAGAGGAUGUGACUUGCUAUACAGGUCCAUUUUAUUCGGCGUUAUUUGAAUAAAAUAUCAAGACUAACUUUACAAGAUUUAAAAUUCUCUUAAAAGUUCAUGUGGAUUCUAGGCUCAGAAUUGGUGUCUAAAAUUUCAAUGUGAGAUCUUUUUCAAGUUUCAACAUGCAAAUCUCUUAUUUUCAGAAUUUACUUGAUGAUUUUGGUUCCUAAAAUUUUUUAACUUGAGAAAGAUUUAUAUCAAGUUCUUCUAUUUUACUGCAUACUUGAUUCAACCUAUGAGGAGUGGGAAGAAAAAUAACAAAAAUGAAAAUAAAGACCCCUUUAAGUUGUAGCUUUGCAAUUAACAAAAUCCGGUUAUUUUACAGUUAAAGGGAACUUUGUUUUACUUAUUGUACUUAUUAUUAUUAUUAUUAUUCCUACUACUACUACUUAUGUUAUAUGGAAUGCUGAUCACCUUUUAAGAUUUUAAAAUUUGAUGGACGUAAGAGGUUAUGUAAGUGGUCAAACCAUAAGGAGAAUGGAAUUGAUUAUUAAAUAGUUUUUGAGGAUGCCUGAUAAUAAGUACUAACGAUCACAAUAAAAAAAAAUUUUGUCAGCUUAAUAUCCUCAAACUUUUAGAGACUACAAGUGUUUGAUUGGUUGAUCAAUGCUUACCGAAAGGAGCUAACAUUUGCUUUAUUCCUGAUCAUUUUCCAAUUAUUUUAGGAAAUCCUUCAACUAUGUGAUAAUAGGUGCGUGCUUUUUGAUAACAAGACCAAGGAUGAGGCCAAGGGAACCGAGCAGGUUCGGCAGCUUCUUUCUCUGGUUAACUCUGUGAUCGUGCAGAAUGGUGGGCAGCCAUAUACGGACGAGUUGAAGGUGACUUCAUUACUAUCGGGAUAGACUUCUGUGCUGCUUCUUUCUGAAUAUGUCAUGACAAUAUCUCUUUUUCUUUUUUUCUACUCAGAGAGGGGCCACUGAACUCCGUGAUCAAAAAGCUGAGGUUGAUUCUCUCAAGGAAUAUUCAAAACGAGAAAUUUCAAAGCUGAUGGGCCAGAUGCAGGAAUCAUAUGAAGAUCGAAUCAAACGAAUGGCUGAGAUGGUAUUUUUUAUGCUCCAUGUUUUGGCAUCAAAAUAUGACAUGCAUAUGUGUUCAUCUCUCAAAUCGGGUAAUCAUUUCUCAAACUGUGUAAUUAAAAAAUGACUAUAAAGCCUGCAGGUACCUGUAACGAUAUUCUAAAUUGUUAGACUUGGAGGUUGUAAAGACUGCCGCUCUGUCCGUACCCCUAGAUUGUUGGAGAUUGCCAUAUGAAAAGAGGCCUUAUCUUGCUAGUUGAUGUGGACAAAUCUGUUAUUAUUUGUUCACUCAUUAUGUUUUGAAGGCCGUAACAUGCUGUUCUUACCUUGAAGAUUGUUUGACGGUCCUGCUCUGUUUUUUGUUGAUGAAAUUAAGGUGGUUUACUAAUCAUGACUUACACUAAGGUGGAUUCUGCACUUGUUUAGUCAUCAAUCAUGAGAACAUUUCUUGUAAUACUGUGGGAACAAUUGAAAUGUUACGAGCAGGUUAUGUCAUAAUUUAAUUUUGUUAAAAAUAGAAUAGCCAUAUUCACAAUAAGUUUUUAUGAAAAUAUAGUUACGCACGUGAAACCUAAUCAAAUGGCUGCGUAGUUUUGAUUUUCCUUUCCACAGUUUUAAUUUAUUGCAAGGCAAUAGAAUGAUUCGGCAUUAAGCCAUAUCCUAUUCAACAAUAAUCUGGAUUUGCUGUAACAUUCUGUGUAAUGAUUAUAUGUCGGAGGUGCUAAUAAGUUUUAUUCUCGACAAUCCUGGAGUAUGGCAAAAUGAAAAAGUUAGCAGAUUCUUUAACACUUUUAUUUUGGAUUUAUGUGUUUAUUUUUUUAAGCUCUUGUUUCUACCAUUUAUCAAUGAUUGAGAGUGGAAUUGAUUGGUCAUAAAGUUGUGCCGAGUAUGGUGAACUUAGCAACUCGCUUUGCAAUUGAAUUAAACUAAAUUGAUACUUAAGAAUUUUUUUCUCUUAAGUUGGAGUUUUAUAUUACCAAUAUCCAAUUUUUUUGUAUUGUGCUGCUACUCUAGGGCUUAGUGGCAUGUUUUCUGACUAAUAUUGAUGCUUUUUUGAUAGGUUGAGUCUGGGCUCAAAGAGACAACAACUAGGCUCGAACAGCAAUUGGCAAAGGAGCAAGCUGCUCGAUUAAGGGCAGAAGAGGUAGCACAAUUAGCUGAAAUGAAGUUAAAAGACGAAAUUCAAUCUCGAAGUACUGAAAAGGAGACUGCGGAACCCCCUAAGCCAUCUGAAAAUCCUCCGCCGGAGCCCCCUAGGCCACCUGCAAGUCCUCCGCGGGAGCCCCCCAGGCCACCUGCAAGUCCUCCGCCGAAGCCCUCUAGCACAUCUGAUGGGUGGUGUGCCAUUAUGUAAAUGUUCGCAGUCCAGACGCUUAUAUCUUCUGUUAUGUAAAUGUUCACAGUCCAAUCUCGAGUGCGGUCUUAAGAUAGUACUACAUGAAAAAACGGUAUUGACAUCAAAUGAAGUUUCAUUUAUGGAGCCAUCUAGAAUCUUUUCUUACACGGUGGAUCCGAAGAGAUCUGAUUCCUUUUCUCCUCAUUGAGCUCUUAACGAACGCUAUAUUGUUUUCACAUUUGUAGCAGAUACUACCCAAAAUGUGCCCUUCUAACAAUCAUGACUUUCCCAAAAAUUCAAACCGACUAACAGAGUAAUCCUAAUAUCCGAAAGACUUGCUAUAAAACCACCAAGCCUUUGACCCUUCUCUGAUACGCACCAUAGUUCAACUAGCUCAUAAUGCAAAUCCUUCGACAUCACACAGCCUCAGUUUUGAAAGUUUUAUAGAUAUUAAGUUUCAGCAUAAUAACUGGUCUCCCAAAGAGAAGAUGCCAAUGAUAAGUCAGCCUAAGUAAUUAGGUUACACAUAAAUUCAUCCAAUUUCAUAUAUUGCUGGUUUCAAAAAUAGGUAUCAAGUAGCACACACAUUCAGUAGAUAAUGAUAUUCUGAUCGUAGAUCUCGUACUGAGAUGCCACAAGCUUGAUCUCUUGCAAACGGGAGAAAACAUUGAUGCACGCUCAACACGAGCUCAUAGAAAUGAAAUGUGAUGGGAGAAUUAAUUACCCGAGAUGGAGUAUCUUCUUGUCCGGAUGAGAGUGAGCAAAGCCGCCACCCUCGAUAAUAGCAGGACUGAAGAAAUUCCGAGAAGCUAAUGCAUGGAUUGCAUUCAGCUCUUGCCCAGUCGCCAUGUUUGCUUGCUGAAACCCUUCCAUUUCUGCUAUCUGAGUUUCAGAAACAACGAAAUUUUAAUAACGUGCUGAAAUUUUGGAAGAGGGCGAGAACAAAUGCAUUAUACAUACAAAGGAUUGAUUUGCAUACCUUUGAUCGGAGACGCACGCUUUCAUUUUCCAGCUCAACCUCCUAUGAAAAUGAAAAUGUCACAGAGUUCCAUAAAAGCUUGGAAGAAAACGAAAAAAAAGGCUAAACAGGAUUUAAUGAACUUUAAUUAUUACCCUUUUCUACAAGAACUCAAUUUUAGGAAACAGACAAAGCAACAAAUUAUUUUCAAAAUGACAUAAAUUACAUAUAUUGAAUGUACAUCGAUAAAGUUUAUGCAAUGUAUUGUUGCAAAACAAUGGUGUAUUGCUCAAAUUCAAUUAUUUUUUGUAUGCAUAAUGCAAUUAAUUAAUUACCUUCUUGGACCUGAUCCUAGUGAUGCCUCACUCAAGCCUGUUCUCCAGUUGCUUAAGCUCCUUUACAGUUAAAGAACUCAGAGAAUCACACAUCAGAUGCCGAUAUGAAGAGUCAAGAGUGAGAUAACCAAUUGAAAAUUCAAUUGAAAUUGUAUAUUUUGGAAUAAAAAAUUAACGACACCUAAUAUGAAAAUGAUUGUUGAUGAAAUAAUUGAAAAUAUCUGUUCGAAUUCUGUGAGAUUUGAAUUUGCUGCCGCAGCUUUGCUGACUCCUGCUGAUAGUACUGUUUCCAUGGGUCACAUGUAAUUGGAGAAGUUUAAUUUUUAUUGGGAACUUUUUAUUUCAAUGCUAGCUAUGUGGUAACCAAUGAUAAUUAGUUGGCUUUUUUUUUUUUUUUUUUUAACCUUUUCAUAAUAGCAUAUAUUCCUAGUAAAGCCUGAAUUUAUAGCUUAAAUUAAUGAAUUAUUUACCUGAGCAUUUAUCUCAGUAACAGUGUCAGAAUUUGAAUUAUCCGAACAUGCCUUCUUGUACCUAUCAAUGGUUGACCUUAUGCUGCUACGUGCAUAACACAUAAAUUUCUAAUUAUUUAGUAUAAUUGUUUGAAAUUGUUUUUGGGAAAAAAAGAGGAAUAAGAAAAGAGGGAGCUGAAGUUUAAUAAACAAUUUUAUUUCUUUAUUAAAUAUCAUUUAUGUUAUCUCAUUAGUUUUCAUGAUCCCUCAGUCUUCAGCUACAUGGAUAAACAAACAUAGACAUAAAAAGAAAGACAUGUUAAGUAAGAUGUAUGAAAAAAUGUUUUAUUUUAUUCUUAAUUCUUUAUUCUCAAUGAGGACAUUGGAAUAAGUUUACUAAACCUAGCUACCCUCUACAUCUAGCUAGGUCAUUAAUUCCAAGCUCAAAGUGGCAUUUAUUUACUCUCUAAUUUAAGAGAAUUUUAUCCCCACAAGCCAAUUGAAUAUUGAGAUGAGAACUACUAAACUAAUAGGUGCUUCUUGAUAUACGUAUCAAGUUAACAUUUCAAGUUCUACGCCUGAUAUUUCAAUUGUAAGUUUAAUGUGUAAGGUUUCUUUAAUCUAACAUUUUAAUUGACAGCCACUCCCUAUAGCUUCCUAAUCAUAAAUGAAAUUAUAUGUGCCCACUCCCUAUAAUUUGAACUUUGAAGUGAAGAAGUUAGCACUUUAUAUCCCCAUCACAUUGAAGAGUAAAAAUCUCUUUCACGUUUUAGGUUUCUAUUCACCAUGCAUGUGGAAAGAGCAAGACCUAAUAGCAUUUUAAAUUUCUUCAAACAAGUCCAUCACUUUAAUAGCACGAAAAUGUUAGUGCAAACUGAGAAAGAAACCAAUACACGAUUGAAAAUUUUCGGUGCUUUUAGAGUCAAAAGUACUGAAGAAAACUGAAGUGAAAGAUAUGAUUCAGAUUGCUUCAAUGAAGAAAAAAGAUAUGGGAAAAUUUUAAUUUAAAGCUAAAAGUAGAAACAAAAGCCAAAGAAAAUUGAGAAUUUGUAAAUGAUUAUAAAAGGAAAGAAUCCAUCUGGCCAGACUUCAGAUCACUGCAGCAAGCUGUAAUUAUUAAUAUGAUUAUUAAUGUAUUGCAGCUGCUGUGUAUUUUGUCAAAUGAUCUAAAACCCUAGAUACAGAUAGGAAAGUCACCGCAGCCUUUUCUUUUUCUGGGGAAUUGGAGUGGACAACUUCGGUCAAAUUUUUAUUUUUUUUCAUUUUUAUAAAAACAUUUUAGCUACCAUGAAAUGAUGUACUUGCAAGAGUCUAACUUUCAUCACGAACAAAAACCCCUUUAUGACAUUCGUUUAAUUAUAUCAAAAAGUUGAAAUUGUUGAAAAACAUUUGUUCAAAAAAAAAAUAUUGUUUUUCACCAAAGCAGUGACUCAAGACCAGCAAUAUUCUUGACCACUAAAGUCUCUUUACCUAUUUUCUAAUUAGGAUAACAUUAUUUAUAAUUUACCUUAAAAUGCAGUUGAACGACUUUCAAUUUCUUUGUUUAAUUAGUCAUUCGAGUUGAACUCCUAAAAAAGAUAUGAAUUAAAAAUAAUGUUUGGGCUAUGCUCCUUCCCCUUUAAUAAAAACUUGAAAAAAUAAAAUAAAAUGAAUUCAUGAUGUGGUUUUAUCUCAAUAACAUUAUUACUGCUCCUAUGGGGGAUUUUCAACUGUUACUAGUUAUAUAAAUGGCUAAUCUAAAUAUCUGAACUCUGCUAUAUAAUAGGCUAAUCCAUGCCAUUCUAAUAAAUAUUUAACUUAGGGAUGGCAAAAUAACCCGGACCCGGCCCGGACCCGGAUAAUCCGGGCCGGGUUGAACCCGUACCAGAAUGUAAAAAAAUCCGGGUCCGGAAUAAAUUUUAAUAACCCGGAUAUAUCCGGGUCCGGGUUCGGGUUUAGGUUAACCCGGACAUCCGGAACCCGGACCCGGAUAUUUAAUUUUAAUAUUAUUUUUUAAUUAAUUUUAUUGAUUAAUCUAGAUGUGUUAUUGCUUGGAAAUGUAUUAAUUUUUUAUUUUUAGAAUUUUAGAAAUUGAUAUUGAUUCAUUGAUCCGGGUUCAAAACCCGGAAUCCGGAAACCCGGAUUUUUCCGGGUUGAACCCGGACCCGGACCCGGGUGAAAAAAUCCGGGUUAAAAUCCGGGUCCGGGAAAAGAAAAUAGUAUCCGGGUCCGGAUCCGGAAAGGCUAAACCCGGACCCGGACUCGGAUUUUGCCAUCCCUAAUCUAACUAUUAAUUCUAUAAACUAAAAGGAAAAAAAUAAUUGUACUUUUAGUAGUACAUAUACCAUGCUAGCGAUAUUGAAUUCAACUUUCUAUUUAAACUCUCUUAUAUUCUUUUCUUCAAACUCUUUUAGAUUCUUUUCUACAUUUCAACUUUCUAUUUAAACUCUCUUAUAUUCUUUUCUUCAAACUCUUUUAGAUUCUUUUCUACAUUUCAACUUUCUAUUUAAACUCUCUUAUAUUCUUUUCUUCAAACUCUUUUAGAUUCUUUUCUACAUUUCAACUUUCUAUUUAAACUCUCUUAUAUUCUUUUCUUCAAACUCUUUUAGAUUCUUUUCUACAUUUCAACUUUCUAUUUAAACUCUCUUAUAUUCUUUUCUUCAAACUCUUUAGAUUCUUUUCUACAUCUCAACUUUCUAUUGAAACUCUCUUACAUCUUUUAUUUCUUAACUUUCUAUUUAAACUCUCUUACAUCCUUUACUUCUCAACUUCCUAUUACAUUCAUUACUCAAUUUAUAAAUUUCAUACCUUAAAUCCUAAAAUUUAAAUCAAGUCUCUUCCCCUUUCUCAUCUCUUCAUACGCAAUGCAAUCUUUUUUGUUCUCCUCUCUUUGCAAGUAAGUAAAAUCUUAGUUCAUCGCAUCAUCUCACAGUUUGUUUUCAUACUUUGCUUUCUUCAAAUUGCCCUCGCAUUUUCCUCUCAAUCUCAAUUUCUGGUUUUUUUGUUUGUUGUAGACUCGAUUUUCUUUACCUCGGUUUGUAAAUUUUAUCGGAUGUAAUGCAUAAUCAUGGGCGACCCAAUUAAUGCCCAGGAGGGGCUUCAGCCCCUUUUAGGCCAUUAAUUUUUCUUUUAAAUGUACCCCACGCCCUUUCUAAAAGAAUUAAAUAAAAAAAUUUGGACACAUAUUUUAUGUAACAAAAGACUUAUGGUUCAAUGAUAAGAGUGCUAUUUGAUGGUUUUAAAGUCCUGGUUUAAAUCCCAAUAGCCACAUUAUUUUGUUUCUUUUUAUAAAUAGUUUUUGAAAAUUACUUAGAAAAAUGAUACUUUUAUGCAUUUAAAAUAAAAAGUUUAUUACUAUUAUUAUUUAAAAUUUAAAAGAAAAUAAUGAAAUUUGAGUCUAUGAGAUUUAAAAUGUAUUCAUGUGAACAUUAAAAAAAAACCCCAAAUUAAAUAAAAUGUUUUGAACUAAUCCCCCUAAUUUAAGUAUCUGGGUCCGCCACUAUGCAUAAUUGAUCGUUGUCGUUUUUUUUUCAAUAAUUUCGUGAAACAUGCAUAAUUAAAUUAAAUUAUACAUCAGCAUAAUUAAUUAAUUAACUGAUGCUGUUUAGAUUCUGUGCUUGAUUAUAUAGCAAUUCAUCAUAUUUUAUUAUGAUUAUAAAUUUAACUAUAUGGUCGGGGUCUGAGUGAUUUUUAUUUUUAAUUUUUUUAAUGAAUUUAUUCAUGUUCCGUUGGAUAAUAUUUAAAGUAAUAUCAAAUAUAAGUUUUAAUGGAGUGAAAUUGUAUGGGAAUGGUAACUAAGUUUUCUUUCUUAUUCUUUAAUGAUAAAAAUUGAAUUCAAUGUGAAAGUGGUUUGAUAUUGUAAAUGCAUUGCAGGUAAAUUGAUUUUUUUUUUAGGAUGGGAGAAAGAGUGGUUGAUGGCGAUUGGAAGCCUACUUCUCCAUCUAAUGGGGAGCGCACUGUGGUUUUACUUGGCCGUACUGGCAAUGGCAAAAGUGCGACGGGCAAUAGUAUUCUCGGGAGAAAAGCCUUCAAGGCGAGUGCUGGCUCGUCUGGUGUUACUAAAACUUGUGAAAUGAAGACAACCGUGCUCAAAGAUGGCCAAGUUGUUAAUGUCAUUGAUACCCCCGGUAAUUUGCUAAUGUUGGUUCCUAGAUAUUCCAUUCCAUGCUUGUUGAUGUUGUGAUGGUAAGUAGAUUGAUGUUACGAGCCAUUGCAGGACUUUUUGAUUUGUCUGCUGGCUCUGAGUUUGUCGGCAAGGAAAUUGUCAAAUGUCUCGGUAUGGCCAAGGAUGGCAUCCAUGCAUUCCUUGUAGUUUUCUCUGUUACAAACCGUUUUUCUCAAGAGGAAGAAACUGCAGUACACCGUUUGCCGAACUUGUUCGGGAAAAAUGUUUUUGACUAUAUGAUUGUUGUUUUCACUGGAGGGGAUGAUCUUGAAGAUCAUGAGAAAACAUUAGAAGAUUUUUUGGGUCAUGAGUGUCCAAAGCCUUUAAAGGUUUGUUUCUGAACUCUUAUAGUGUUCGAUAAUUUCAUCAGUCAUUUUGAUCAAGUUGUCUUUGGCUGGUUCUUUUGUGAAGUUUUAGACUCCUUUACGGUUGGACUAUUGGAAGUUUAAUAUGAAUAUAUGCAUGCUGAAAAUACUAGAUAGCUUUAUAGUAGGCCAGCCGUCUUAAAGUUCCAUUUUCAAUGGUGCUUCAUUUCGUGAAUGGUUUUCUUCUGCCAUGCGGGAUUGGCCGGAGAGGUGAUUGGUAAUUUUCUGCUGGCGUUACUUAAUUUUACUUAUACGUUAUUGUCUUCGAAUGAGAUAUCAUUCAUUCAUUCGCUAAACAUUUUUGCUUUUCUUAUUUGUAUUCUUUGAUUUCCUCUGCGAUUUAAUCUUGGUUCUUAUUCUAUUAAGGUGUGUUCAUUUGUUUGUUUCUCAAAAUAUGUACCUCUUUGAUUUAUACGCUCAAAAUUAACCUACUUUUAAGAUUUUAAAAGUGGCCCAAAGAGGAUGUGACUUGCUAUACAGGUCCAUUUUAUUCGGCGUUAUUUGAAUAAAAUAUCAAGACUAACUUUACAAGAUUUAAAAUUCUCUUAAAAGUUCAUGUGGAUUCUAGGCUCAGAAUUGGUGUCUAAAAUUUCAAUGUGAGAUCUUUUUCAAGUUUCAACAUGCAAAUCUCUUAUUUUCAGAAUUUACUUGAUGAUUUUGGUUCCUAAAAUUUUUUAACUUGAGAAAGAUUUAUAUCAAGUUCUUCUAUUUUACUGCAUACUUGAUUCAACCUAUGAGGAGUGGGAAGAAAAAUAACAAAAAUGAAAAUAAAGACCCCUUUAAGUUGUAGCUUUGCAAUUAACAAAAUCCGGUUAUUUUACAGUUAAAGGGAACUUUGUUUUACUUAUUGUACUUAUUAUUAUUAUUAUUAUUCCUACUACUACUACUUAUGUUAUAUGGAAUGCUGAUCACCUUUUAAGAUUUUAAAAUUUGAUGGACGUAAGAGGUUAUGUAAGUGGUCAAACCAUAAGGAGAAUGGAAUUGAUUAUUAAAUAGUUUUUGAGGAUGCCUGAUAAUAAGUACUAACGAUCACAAUAAAAAAAAAUUUUGUCAGCUUAAUAUCCUCAAACUUUUAGAGACUACAAGUGUUUGAUUGGUUGAUCAAUGCUUACCGAAAGGAGCUAACAUUUGCUUUAUUCCUGAUCAUUUUCCAAUUAUUUUAGGAAAUCCUUCAACUAUGUGAUAAUAGGUGCGUGCUUUUUGAUAACAAGACCAAGGAUGAGGCCAAGGGAACCGAGCAGGUUCGGCAGCUUCUUUCUCUGGUUAACUCUGUGAUCGUGCAGAAUGGUGGGCAGCCAUAUACGGACGAGUUGAAGGUGACUUCAUUACUAUCGGGAUAGACUUCUGUGCUGCUUCUUUCUGAAUAUGUCAUGACAAUAUCUCUUUUUCUUUUUUUCUACUCAGAGAGGGGCCACUGAACUCCGUGAUCAAAAAGCUGAGGUUGAUUCUCUCAAGGAAUAUUCAAAACGAGAAAUUUCAAAGCUGAUGGGCCAGAUGCAGGAAUCAUAUGAAGAUCGAAUCAAACGAAUGGCUGAGAUGGUAUUUUUUAUGCUCCAUGUUUUGGCAUCAAAAUAUGACAUGCAUAUGUGUUCAUCUCUCAAAUCGGGUAAUCAUUUCUCAAACUGUGUAAUUAAAAAAUGACUAUAAAGCCUGCAGGUACCUGUAACGAUAUUCUAAAUUGUUAGACUUGGAGGUUGUAAAGACUGCCGCUCUGUCCGUACCCCUAGAUUGUUGGAGAUUGCCAUAUGAAAAGAGGCCUUAUCUUGCUAGUUGAUGUGGACAAAUCUGUUAUUAUUUGUUCACUCAUUAUGUUUUGAAGGCCGUAACAUGCUGUUCUUACCUUGAAGAUUGUUUGACGGUCCUGCUCUGUUUUUUGUUGAUGAAAUUAAGGUGGUUUACUAAUCAUGACUUACACUAAGGUGGAUUCUGCACUUGUUUAGUCAUCAAUCAUGAGAACAUUUCUUGUAAUACUGUGGGAACAAUUGAAAUGUUACGAGCAGGUUAUGUCAUAAUUUAAUUUUGUUAAAAAUAGAAUAGCCAUAUUCACAAUAAGUUUUUAUGAAAAUAUAGUUACGCACGUGAAACCUAAUCAAAUGGCUGCGUAGUUUUGAUUUUCCUUUCCACAGUUUUAAUUUAUUGCAAGGCAAUAGAAUGAUUCGGCAUUAAGCCAUAUCCUAUUCAACAAUAAUCUGGAUUUGCUGUAACAUUCUGUGUAAUGAUUAUAUGUCGGAGGUGCUAAUAAGUUUUAUUCUCGACAAUCCUGGAGUAUGGCAAAAUGAAAAAGUUAGCAGAUUCUUUAACACUUUUAUUUUGGAUUUAUGUGUUUAUUUUUUUAAGCUCUUGUUUCUACCAUUUAUCAAUGAUUGAGAGUGGAAUUGAUUGGUCAUAAAGUUGUGCCGAGUAUGGUGAACUUAGCAACUCGCUUUGCAAUUGAAUUAAACUAAAUUGAUACUUAAGAAUUUUUUUCUCUUAAGUUGGAGUUUUAUAUUACCAAUAUCCAAUUUUUUUGUAUUGUGCUGCUACUCUAGGGCUUAGUGGCAUGUUUUCUGACUAAUAUUGAUGCUUUUUUGAUAGGUUGAGUCUGGGCUCAAAGAGACAACAACUAGGCUCGAACAGCAAUUGGCAAAGGAGCAAGCUGCUCGAUUAAGGGCAGAAGAGGUAGCACAAUUAGCUGAAAUGAAGUUAAAAGACGAAAUUCAAUCUCGAAGUACUGAAAAGGAGACUGCGGAACCCCCUAAGCCAUCUGAAAAUCCUCCGCCGGAGCCCCCUAGGCCACCUGCAAGUCCUCCGCGGGAGCCCCCCAGGCCACCUGCAAGUCCUCCGCCGAAGCCCUCUAGCACAUCUGAUGGGUGGUGUGCCAUUAUGUAAAUGUUCGCAGUCCAGACGCUUAUAUCUUCUGUUAUGUAAAUGUUCACAGUCCAAUCUCGAGUGCGGUCUUAAGAUAGUACUACAUGAAAAAACGGUAUUGACAUCAAAUGAAGUUUCAUUUAUGGAGCCAUCUAGAAUCUUUUCUUACACGGUGGAUCCGAAGAGAUCUGAUUCCUUUUCUCCUCAUUGAGCUCUUAACGAACGCUAUAUUGUUUUCACAUUUGUAGCAGAUACUACCCAAAAUGUGCCCUUCUAACAAUCAUGACUUUCCCAAAAAUUCAAACCGACUAACAGAGUAAUCCUAAUAUCCGAAAGACUUGCUAUAAAACCACCAAGCCUUUGACCCUUCUCUGAUACGCACCAUAGUUCAACUAGCUCAUAAUGCAAAUCCUUCGACAUCACACAGCCUCAGUUUUGAAAGUUUUAUAGAUAUUAAGUUUCAGCAUAAUAACUGGUCUCCCAAAGAGAAGAUGCCAAUGAUAAGUCAGCCUAAGUAAUUAGGUUACACAUAAAUUCAUCCAAUUUCAUAUAUUGCUGGUUUCAAAAAUAGGUAUCAAGUAGCACACACAUUCAGUAGAUAAUGAUAUUCUGAUCGUAGAUCUCGUACUGAGAUGCCACAAGCUUGAUCUCUUGCAAACGGGAGAAAACAUUGAUGCACGCUCAACACGAGCUCAUAGAAAUGAAAUGUGAUGGGAGAAUUAAUUACCCGAGAUGGAGUAUCUUCUUGUCCGGAUGAGAGUGAGCAAAGCCGCCACCCUCGAUAAUAGCAGGACUGAAGAAAUUCCGAGAAGCUAAUGCAUGGAUUGCAUUCAGCUCUUGCCCAGUCGCCAUGUUUGCUUGCUGAAACCCUUCCAUUUCUGCUAUCUGAGUUUCAGAAACAACGAAAUUUUAAUAACGUGCUGAAAUUUUGGAAGAGGGCGAGAACAAAUGCAUUAUACAUACAAAGGAUUGAUUUGCAUACCUUUGAUCGGAGACGCACGCUUUCAUUUUCCAGCUCAACCUCCUAUGAAAAUGAAAAUGUCACAGAGUUCCAUAAAAGCUUGGAAGAAAACGAAAAAAAAGGCUAAACAGGAUUUAAUGAACUUUAAUUAUUACCCUUUUCUACAAGAACUCAAUUUUAGGAAACAGACAAAGCAACAAAUUAUUUUCAAAAUGACAUAAAUUACAUAUAUUGAAUGUACAUCGAUAAAGUUUAUGCAAUGUAUUGUUGCAAAACAAUGGUGUAUUGCUCAAAUUCAAUUAUUUUUUGUAUGCAUAAUGCAAUUAAUUAAUUACCUUCUUGGACCUGAUCCUAGUGAUGCCUCACUCAAGCCUGUUCUCCAGUUGCUUAAGCUCCUUUACAGUUAAAGAACUCAGAGAAUCACACAUCAGAUGCCGAUAUGAAGAGUCAAGAGUGAGAUAACCAAUUGAAAAUUCAAUUGAAAUUGUAUAUUUUGGAAUAAAAAAUUAACGACACCUAAUAUGAAAAUGAUUGUUGAUGAAAUAAUUGAAAAUAUCUGUUCGAAUUCUGUGAGAUUUGAAUUUGCUGCCGCAGCUUUGCUGACUCCUGCUGAUAGUACUGUUUCCAUGGGUCACAUGUAAUUGGAGAAGUUUAAUUUUUAUUGGGAACUUUUUAUUUCAAUGCUAGCUAUGUGGUAACCAAUGAUAAUUAGUUGGCUUUUUUUUUUUUUUUUUUUAACCUUUUCAUAAUAGCAUAUAUUCCUAGUAAAGCCUGAAUUUAUAGCUUAAAUUAAUGAAUUAUUUACCUGAGCAUUUAUCUCAGUAACAGUGUCAGAAUUUGAAUUAUCCGAACAUGCCUUCUUGUACCUAUCAAUGGUUGACCUUAUGCUGCUACGUGCAUAACACAUAAAUUUCUAAUUAUUUAGUAUAAUUGUUUGAAAUUGUUUUUGGGAAAAAAAGAGGAAUAAGAAAAGAGGGAGCUGAAGUUUAAUAAACAAUUUUAUUUCUUUAUUAAAUAUCAUUUAUGUUAUCUCAUUAGUUUUCAUGAUCCCUCAGUCUUCAGCUACAUGGAUAAACAAACAUAGACAUAAAAAGAAAGACAUGUUAAGUAAGAUGUAUGAAAAAAUGUUUUAUUUUAUUCUUAAUUCUUUAUUCUCAAUGAGGACAUUGGAAUAAGUUUACUAAACCUAGCUACCCUCUACAUCUAGCUAGGUCAUUAAUUCCAAGCUCAAAGUGGCAUUUAUUUACUCUCUAAUUUAAGAGAAUUUUAUCCCCACAAGCCAAUUGAAUAUUGAGAUGAGAACUACUAAACUAAUAGGUGCUUCUUGAUAUACGUAUCAAGUUAACAUUUCAAGUUCUACGCCUGAUAUUUCAAUUGUAAGUUUAAUGUGUAAGGUUUCUUUAAUCUAACAUUUUAAUUGACAGCCACUCCCUAUAGCUUCCUAAUCAUAAAUGAAAUUAUAUGUGCCCACUCCCUAUAAUUUGAACUUUGAAGUGAAGAAGUUAGCACUUUAUAUCCCCAUCACAUUGAAGAGUAAAAAUCUCUUUCACGUUUUAGGUUUCUAUUCACCAUGCAUGUGGAAAGAGCAAGACCUAAUAGCAUUUUAAAUUUCUUCAAACAAGUCCAUCACUUUAAUAGCACGAAAAUGUUAGUGCAAACUGAGAAAGAAACCAAUACACGAUUGAAAAUUUUCGGUGCUUUUAGAGUCAAAAGUACUGAAGAAAACUGAAGUGAAAGAUAUGAUUCAGAUUGCUUCAAUGAAGAAAAAAGAUAUGGGAAAAUUUUAAUUUAAAGCUAAAAGUAGAAACAAAAGCCAAAGAAAAUUGAGAAUUUGUAAAUGAUUAUAAAAGGAAAGAAUCCAUCUGGCCAGACUUCAGAUCACUGCAGCAAGCUGUAAUUAUUAAUAUGAUUAUUAAUGUAUUGCAGCUGCUGUGUAUUUUGUCAAAUGAUCUAAAACCCUAGAUACAGAUAGGAAAGUCACCGCAGCCUUUUCUUUUUCUGGGGAAUUGGAGUGGACAACUUCGGUCAAAUUUUUAUUUUUUUUCAUUUUUAUAAAAACAUUUUAGCUACCAUGAAAUGAUGUACUUGCAAGAGUCUAACUUUCAUCACGAACAAAAACCCCUUUAUGACAUUCGUUUAAUUAUAUCAAAAAGUUGAAAUUGUUGAAAAACAUUUGUUCAAAAAAAAAAUAUUGUUUUUCACCAAAGCAGUGACUCAAGACCAGCAAUAUUCUUGACCACUAAAGUCUCUUUACCUAUUUUCUAAUUAGGAUAACAUUAUUUAUAAUUUACCUUAAAAUGCAGUUGAACGACUUUCAAUUUCUUUGUUUAAUUAGUCAUUCGAGUUGAACUCCUAAAAAAGAUAUGAAUUAAAAAUAAUGUUUGGGCUAUGCUCCUUCCCCUUUAAUAAAAACUUGAAAAAAUAAAAUAAAAUGAAUUCAUGAUGUGGUUUUAUCUCAAUAACAUUAUUACUGCUCCUAUGGGGGAUUUUCAACUGUUACUAGUUAUAUAAAUGGCUAAUCUAAAUAUCUGAACUCUGCUAUAUAAUAGGCUAAUCCAUGCCAUUCUAAUAAAUAUUUAACUUAGGGAUGGCAAAAUAACCCGGACCCGGCCCGGACCCGGAUAAUCCGGGCCGGGUUGAACCCGUACCAGAAUUUUAGAAAUUGAUAUUGAUUCAUUGAUCCGGGUUCAAAACCCGGAAUCCGGAAACCCGGAUUUUUCCGGGUUGAACCCGGACCCGGACCCGGGUGAAAAAAUCCGGGUUAAAAUCCGGGUCCGGGAAAGGAAAAUAGUAUCCAGGUCCGGAUCCGGAAAGGCUAAACCCGGACCCGGACUCGGAUUUUGCCAUCCCUAAUCUAACUAUUAAUUCUAUAAACUAAAAGGAAAAAAAUAAUUGUACUUUUAGUAGUACAUAUACCAUGCUAGCGAUAUUGAAUGUUAAUUAAUUAUUAACAUUAAAUAUCCCUUGCUAGCGAUCUUGAACGUCCUACAAACAGCAGUCAAUCUUCGCUCCAAACAUGGAAGUAUAAAUGAUCUUUGCCUAGUUUGUAACUGUUGGUGCAAAUUUUGUCCCAACUUAUGAUAUGGAAAUUUCGACUGAGGACAACCCCCUUAGGACUUGGGUUCCUCUUUGUUAGAUUUUAUGAUGGUGAGUUCAUUAUUUGGGCUGAUCUUUAUGGGCCUUUAUAUAUGCUCUUCUGAGUCCACUUCCUUAGGCACUCAGCAGGUCCUUACUUGUGAUACUCUACAAACACAAGAAAAUGAUCAGAGGGCCGGCUUUGCCGGCGUAAACCCUUUGACGGUCAAGUCAAUCACCGGACUUUUGGAAAUAUAAAUUUAGAAAGAGAAAGAUUAGAGGGAGAAAGUUAGCAUUUUUCCCUUUUGAGUCUCUUUUUGUUUGUCUUACCUUUUAGUGAGAAUGAAAGACAUAUUUAUCGACCAAACUGAUUUGACUUGGGUCCUAGUUUUUAUCCUUGAAAUAAGAUGCUCAUUUGUUUUGUUGAACUUGAAUAAAGAUACAAAAUUUUCAUCUGUUAAGUUUAUGAAAAUUUAGAAUCGAUCCAAGGACAUUCAUCAUUGUCACAACUUUUUUUUUUUUUUUUAACAUCUCAUGGAGAAUUUACUUGACUGGGAGAAGUAGUCUUUUAUUCAUCCGCAUUUUGUCUUUACAAAACUUGUCUGACCAUUGAGGAAAGAUCAGACUUAUAUAAGUACAAGAUCAUACUAUUGAUGGUAAAUCCUGAGAUGCUCAGCAUUCCAAGCAUGCCUCAAGAUCUUUCCACCUAAGGUAGACAAAAUAUAAGUUCCUGGCCUAACUACUUCUCUGAUUAUGUAAGGUCCAUCCUAGUUAGGACCCAAGGUGCCAACACCUGGUUCUUGAGCAUUAGGCAAAACCUUCUUUAGAACAAGAUCUCCAAUUCUGAACUUCCGAAUUUUAACUCGAGCAAUGUAGUAACGAGCUACUUUGCCUUGAUAGGCAGCGACCUUGAUCAUAGCAUGAUCCCUCUUUUCUUCUAAGAGGUCUAAACUUUGGCGUUGUAGCUCAUCAUUGAUGACAGGAUCAAAGUGUUGUACUCGAUAAGUCGGCGUUCUUAUUUCAGCAGGGAUGACAGCUUCUGCACCAAAUGCCAAUAAGAAGGGAGAUUCUCCUGUAGGAGUCCUUGGUGUAGUUCGAUAAGACCAUAGGACGAAUGGUAAUUCAUCUGGCCAUGCUCCUUUGGCUUUCUCUAACUUAGCCUUCAGAAUUUGCUUAAUCACUCGAUUGGCAGCUUCAACUUGUCAAUUAGCCUGAGGAUGGGCAGGAGAAGAGUAACAAUUUUUUAUCUUAAGCUUUCUACAAAACUCACGAAAUUUGUCAUUGUCAAAUUGCCUCCCAUUGUCAGUGAUUAUAGUAUGAGGUACGCCAUACCGACAUAUGAUGUUCUUCUGAAUAAAGUCGGUAGUUUUCUUCUCAGUAAUAGUUGCCAAAGGCUCAGCUUCCACCCACUUUGUGAAGUAAUCAAUGGCAACUAUAGCAAACCUUACUUGCCCCUUUCCUUUUGGCAGAGGACCAAUUAGAUCAACCCCCCAUUGGGCAAAUGGCCAAGGAGUAAGGAGAGGAGUUAACUUUUCUGGAGCUUGCUUGGGUAUAAUAGCAAACCUUUGGCAUUUAUCACACUUUUUUGCUAACUCCAAGGCAUCUCGUUGCAUCGUCAGCCAAAAGUAUCCUUGUCUCAUAGCUUUGUAGGUAAGUGCUCAUCCUCCAGAAUGAUUUCCACAUAUCCCCUCAUGGAUUUCACGUAAGACAUUAUCUCCAUCUUCGGGUGUCAAACACUUGAGAAGAGGAAGUGAAUAUCCAUGUUUGUAAAGUUGAUUAUCCAUGAUCACAUACCUUGUAGCUCAGUAUCUCACCUUUUUUGAUUCAUUCUUGUCCCUUUGGCAUUUAUCACACUUUUUUGCUAACUCCAAGGCAUCUCGUUGCAUCGUCGGCCAAAAGUAUCCUUGUCUCAUAGCUUUGUAGGCAAGUGCUCGUCCUCCAGAAUGAUUUCCACAUAUCCCCUCAUGUAUUUCACAUAAGACAUUAUCUCCAUCUUCAGGUGUCAAACACUUGAGAAGAUGAAGUGAAUAUCCACGUUUGUAAAGUUGAUUAUCCAUGAUCACAUACCUUGUAGCUCGGUAUCUCACCUUCUUUGAUUCAUUCUUGUCCUCAGGUAAAGUUCCAUUCAUAAGAUAACUCAUAAUUAGGUCCAUCCAGGAACUCCGAUGGUCAAUGGUUGCCACUUUCUUUUCUUCACAUUUAAUUAUGCUUGGCUCGGGAAUGAUGACUGUCUCAGUAAGUCUUUUUCUGGUAAGAAAGCUAGUUGAACUAAUGCAUCAGCUCGUGUGUUUUGUUCCCGAGGAAUUUGCUUCACCUCACAAUUGAAGUCCCUUAACAACUCAUUAACUCGAUCAAGAUAUGCAAUCAUGUUGAAAUCCCGAGCUGUAUAGUUGCAAUUCACUUGAUUAACUACCAAUUGAGAGUCACUAAAGACAAGUAAAUCCUUUGCACCUAAGGCUCGAACUAGCCUAAGGCCAGCCAGAAGAGCUUUAUACUCUGCUUCAUUGUUGGUAGCAUUGAAGCCAUACCUAAGAGCGCAUCCAAUCUCAACAUUGUUUGGAGUGAUUGCUAUAAAACCUGCACCACAUCCUCGUUUACUAGAGGAUCCAUCGACAUAGAGAGACCAUUUAUCUUGAUGCUCCUCUUUAGGAUCAAGUGAUAUAAUAUCUCCUUCAGUAAACUCAGCAAUGAAGUUUGCCACUGCUUGCCCUUUUAAUGAUGUCCUAGGAUGAUAUAAGAUGUCAAACUCCCUAAGUUCAAUAGCCCACUUUGUCAUCCUUCCUGAAAUAUCAGGCUUAGCUAAAACUUGUCUAAUUGGUUGAUCAAUGAGGACGAUUAUGGUAUGAGCUUGGAAAUAAGGCCUUAACCUUCUUGCUGAAACAAUCAAGGCUAGAACAAUAUUUUCAAGACUUAGAUACCUUGUUUCUGCAUCAACCAACCCUCUACUUGUAUAGUAGAUAGGCCUUUGCACUCCAUCAUCUUCUCGGACAAGGAUAGAGCUAGUGGCAUGUUCAGACAUUGCAAGAUAAAUGAAGAGAGACUCGCAUUGGAUUGGCUUAACAAGCAAAUGAGGGCUUCCUAAAUAUUCCUUAAGCUUUUGAUCUUCACAUUCCUCAGUCCACUUUAUCUCUUUUCCUUUUCUAAGAGCCUUAAAAAAAGGAAGGCACUUAUCUGUAGCUCGAGAGACAAAGCGAUUCAGGGCUGCUACUUGACCCGUCAACCUUUGAAUUUCUUUAACAUUCUUUGGAGACUUCAUAUUAACCAAUGCUUGGAUCUUCUCAGGAUUGAUCUCAAUACCUCUUUGAUUUACCACAAAGCCAAGGAAUUUUCCUUACGACACACCAAAUGCACAUUUAGUUGGAUUUAACCGCAUCUUGUACUUUCUAAGGAUAUCAAAGGUUUCCCGGAAGUCUUUUACAUGAUCUUCAGGGUUAAGGCUCUUGGUGAGCAUAUCAUCUACAUAAACCUCCAUGGUAUGCCCAAUUUGUUGAACGAACAUACUGUUUACCAACCUUUGAUAGGUGGCUCCAGUGUUCUUGAGUCCAAAUGGCAUAACUUUAUAGCAAUAGAGACCUCGAUAUGUGAUAAAUGCGGUCUUUUCUUGGUCAGGUUCAUGCAUCCUUAUUUGAUUAUAUCCUGAGUAUGCAUCCAUGUAGCUUAGCAGUCCAUGCCCAGCUGUAGCAUCCACUAGUUGAUCAAUCCUCGGUAAAGGAAAACUAUCAUUAGGGCAAGCUUUGUUAAGAUCAGUAAAGUCUACACACAUCCUCCACUUCCCAUUAGCUUUCUUCACCAUCACAACAUUAGCUAGCCAAUCAGGAUACCUUGCCUCCUUGAUAAAACCAGCUUUGAGAAGUUUAUCUACUCAUUCCUUUACGGCCAGAGAUCUUUCGGCGUUCAGACUUCUUCUUUUCUGUCGAAUUGGUUUCAUCUUUGGGUUAGUACUUAAACGAUGUACCACUACCCAAGGAUCAAUGCCUGACAUAUCAUUAUGCAUCCAAGCAAACACAUCAUGAUAUUCUUUCAGAAAGCUAACAAGUUGCUUCUUCAGCGGAUCAGGCAAUCGACCCCCAAUCUUCACGAUUUUACUCAAAUCUUCACCAAGUGGAAAGUCUUCCAAGUCAUCAACUGGGCUCGCCCUUUGAUAGUCUUUUACUGUCCUAGGAUCAAGGCUUGUGAUUUGAAGAGUUUCUUUGCCCAUCCUGAACGCUAUCUCAUAACACUCCCUUGCUUCUUUUUAUUCUCCUCGCACGACUCCAACCCCAGCUUCAGUUGGAAACUUCAACGCAUAAUGAUAAAUUGAAGUUGUUGCUUUUAAAGCAUAAAGAGUCGGCCUUCCUAAGACAACAUUAUAGGAACUUGGUUGAUAAACCACAAUAAGGUUAACCAUAGUGGUCAUCUUAGUUGGGCUUUUUUCGAAAGACACUAUGAGCUCUAUAACUCUUUCAGGAACUAUACUUCCUCCUGCGAAACCAUGAAGUAGAGUCGUGUAAGGUUUUAGCUGUGAUCAUUCUAACCCCAUUCGAGCGAAGGUUGACAAGAAUAAAAUAUCAGCUGAACUCCCAUUAUCAAUAAGAAUCCGAUGAAAACUCCCAUUAUCAAUAAGAAUCCGAACCAUUGAUCCUUGAGAUUGAUUAGUCAAAUUAACCUCGGGACCAUUGGGUUCAUGUCUUGCUUGGCGAGCUAGAUUUUUCCUUGACUUCCUGGAGUCUCCUGCAGCCGGCCCUCCCCAAAUGUGAUUGACAUCAUACAUGCUUUCAUCACUAUCUUCCUUCUUUUUUCCUUUUCUCUUCUUUGAAGAUUCUAGUUGCUCACUCUUUACUCGAUCCUCGAGAUUUCUUACAUACUCCUGUAGUUGCCCUUGUCGAACUAGGCUUUCUAUUUGUUCCUUAAGCUCAAAACACUCGGAGGUGUCAUGCCCAUGAUCUUUAUGAAAAUGACAAUACUUGUUUGGAUUUCUUCGGGAUGGAUUUGUCCUCAUAGGAGGUGGGGUUCUAAACAAAGUUGGAUUUCUUACCUGCAUGAGAAUUUGCUCCCGAGGAGUAUUAAGUUCUGUAAAGUUAGUGAAUUGAGAGGCUAACCGAGGAUGACUGCCUCGGACUUCAGAGCGUUCCCCAGGACGAAAUUGGUCUCUUUUUAGAGAUGGAUCAGGUCUGACAACUCUUCUUUCUCUUCCAUCAUCUUUCUUUUUCUUUCCUUUGAUUGGUUCUCUUUUCUCUUGAUUUCUGUUCUUGAAUCUUUCUUCCGCAUUGGCAUAUUUCUCAGCUCUCGCAAGCAUCUCAGAGUAAGAAGUGGGUGGUCUUUUUGAAACUGACCACCAUAGCUUUCCCAUCCUGAGCCCUUCCAUAAUACCAGAAAGUGCUAUGCCAUCAUCAUAACCAUCUACUUAGGUGAUCUCAUUAUUAUACCUUCUGAUGUAGUCUCUUAAGGUCUCCCCUUCCUGUUGUUUGACGGUCAAUAGGUAAGUCACUGGUUUUCCUCUUUGUCGGGCACUUCGGAAGUGAGAGGUGAAUUCUCUACUCAAAUCUCCAAAGGAUGAGAUGGAGUGUGGCUGCAACAUUCGGAACCAUCUUCGUGCUGCUCCUACUAAGGUAAGAGGAAAAGCCCGACAAAGAAUUGCUUGUGAUGCUCCUUGCACUUCCAUAAGGAUGCGAUACAAUUCUAAAUGCUCAGUUGGAUCCCUCUGCCCAUCAUAAGGCUCCAUUCGGGGUAAAUGAAACCUAGGUGGAUAUUUUGCUACCAUUAUAUCAAAAGUAAAUGGUGGCUCAUGUUCUGCUGUUACAUCAUCAAGUGGACCCAUUUCUCGAACCAUUUGCUCAAGUCUCUGCAUUAUUUCUUGUAAUCCUCUUUUGACUUCCUCUCCUUGGUCUAAACCUUCUCUGGUCAUUCUCCUCCUAAAUCUUCUUUGGUUAAGGGAAUGCCUGAGAUCAUCUUCAUUUAACUCUUCUCUAGACCUUGUUCUAGAGGAGCCGGAAUCAACCACAUUACCUCUACUUGAGUUCUCGCCUUCCUCAGCUCGAGCUGGAAAUUGGCCGAACAUUCUAUUAAAGUUACGAGCCAACUGAUCAACUUGUUGUUGAAGUCGAACAACACGAGGCUGUCCUCGACGUCUAGCGUGGCGAGGUGGAUUCAACUGAGGAUCUGGAGGAGGAUGGAUAGGCACCACAUCAUCAUCAUCUAGGUCUCGUUGUCGUCUCCUUCAUCGGAAGUGAACAUCCUCAUCCACUCUGGAACUUUCAUCAUCAGCCUCAUAGUACUCAUUGUUAGCAUCCAUGCUCAUGGUAGGGCUUCCAAGACUUUUAUCGGAAGAUCCCCACAGACGGCGCCAAACUAUUGGUGCAAAUUUUGUCCCAACUUAUGAUAUAGAAAUUUUGACUGAGGACAACCCCCUUAGGACUUGGGUUCUUCUUUGUUAGAUUUUAUGAUGGUGAGUUCAUUAUUUGGGAUGAUCUUUAUGGGCCUUUAUAUAUGCUCUUCUGAGUCCACUUCCUUAGGCAAUCAGCAGGUCCUUGUCUUGUGAUACUCUACAAACACAAGGAAAUGAUCAGAGGGCCGGCUUUGCCGGCGUAAACCCUCCGAUGGUCAAGUCAAUCACCGGACUUUUAGAAAUAUAAAUUUAGAAAGAGAAAGAUUAGAGGGAGAAAGUUAGCAUUUUUCCCUUUUGAGUCUUUUUUUUUUGUCUUACCUUUUAGUGAGAAUGAAAGACAUAUUUAUCGACCAAACUGAUUUGACUUGGGUCCUCGUUAUUUUGAUGACAAAUGUCAUUGUUCUUGUGACAUUUAGUAACACUUGUCCUCUAGUGCCCAUGUGGAUUGACACAUGGAUAUACAAACUUGUCUACUGAUUAGAGGAAGGAACGUUUUAUCCUUAGGUUAUUUUUACUAAGACCUUGAGAUCAUAAGAGCUUUCAAACUUAGGAGGUUUGUUCUAGGAUAGGAGUCAAGAACCUCAGCACCUUUUGGACUUUAAAUCCUUGCUACCUAGUUGAUUUAUCCUAAGUGAUUUGUCUUAGGAUAAGAAUCUAGGACCUUGGCUCCUUUUGGGCUUUGAAACCUUGUUACUUAGGAGGAUCAUUCUAGGUGAUUUGUCCACCACUUCGUGGGCUUAAUUGGGAGGAAAUUUAUUAGAUGGGCCUUAUUAGACUUAUUUUAUUUUUGGUCCAACAGUAACUCUGAUAAAGAAACUUUUUUUCACCUACUGGUUGACUGUCCUUUUGCAAGAACUUGUUGGAUUCAAUCAAAAGUGGGCUUCUUUGGUAUCUAUUCAUCAUUCAAGGAUUGGCUUCAAGCUUUGUUUAGGAACUGCACUAAUGAGCAGUGUUGGAUUGCUGUUAUGGUCUACUGGAAGCUAUGAAGCAACAAGAAUAAUCUGGUUUGGCAGGGGAAAUGCGACACAGCAAAACAUAUUGUUAAUACAGCUAGUAAUUUUUUGUUUCAAUGGCAGUUAGCUAAAUCCUCUGUGAUGUUUAAUCAAGUCUCAAGUGAUCCAGGUGCUGGUGCUAUUGCUUGGUCUCCUCCUCGAGUGGGCUGGCUUAAAUGUAACACUGAUGCUGCAGUUUUUACUGAUGAGGGAAGAGUUGGGCUGGGCAGUGUUAUCCGUGAUGAAUCGGGGAAAUUUGUUGCUGCUCUUUGUUGUAAUAUCAGGGGAAACUAUUCUCCUCGUGAUGCUGAGGUCCUUAGCAUUCAUAAGCUCUCUCUUUGGCUGAAGUCUAUGAAGUUGUCAAAGGUUAUCAUUGAAACUGAUUGCCUUCAAGCGUUUUAUGCUCUAGUCGAUCGAAAGAGUCCUCUAAAUAGCUUUGGCUCAUUAGUUUUGGAUUGCAAAUGUAUUGCUGAAUCUAUAGGCGAUAUUGUUUUCUCUUUCGUCAAAAGAUCUGAGAAUUCUAUUGCUCACUUUAUUGCUAGAGCGGAAAAUGCUUUGCCAGGUCGUGAAGAGUGGCGUUCUGUGCCACCUUCUUAGUUAAUCUCGGUGCUGUAAUUGCUGGUUUUAUUGUUAAUGAAAUUGCACUUUCCAUAAAAAAAAAACAUUGAAUGUUAUCAAGAUGAUGACAUUAUCAUUAUUUUCUGUAAUUAAAAAUAUUGUAACACUACCGUAAUUAGGAUUUUAGACGAUCAUUUUCCAAGCAUCUCCAUCAAUGAAUUGGUUAUGAAGAAUCUCAAUAGUAAACAAAAGGGACAAUAACUAGUGGGACUCAAAAGACAAUCAAAUACGGGUAUGGAUAGAAAAGGCAAUAUUAUGACAAAAUCCAUUUGCUCUUCAUGCACCAAUCACAACUUUACUUUUUCUGCUUGUUAUUGACUUAACAUGAAAAUAAGAAAGACGAGAACUUCAUUUAAUGAGUUAUAUCACUGCAAACUGAAGAAAAAACAAAAAGUGGACUAAGCUGGCCUGCUUGCUUUCAUUAAAGAAAUGCAAACAAAUUGUAGUGAGGCCUCCAAAGCCGGAACUAGAAACAGACAGUAAUAUUCGAGAAUCAUCAAAUUAAACACUCAAAAAACAUACUAUUUUAUUUAUUUUAUUUGUUCAACAACACUCCUCACCGACAACAACUCUUAUUUUUCACUCUUUACACCUUAAAGAUUUUUGUUACUUCACUUGAUGCUUAAACCAAAGGGGAGAUGGGGUAUUUUUACAUAAAACAAACUAAUCACAACCAUUCAUUUAUUCAACUACUGUAUAAAUCCUCACCAUUCAUUAAAAACUACCACUCACCUAGUUCACCAACCACACCUACCAUACCUACCACAAGAAGCUUCUAUGUAUUUGAGCUUGAAUUUAUUCAUCUUAGAUCAAGUUUAUGAUCCAACACCCUCCCUUAAACUUGAUCCUGUGAUACCAAGCAAACUUCUAAAUUUUACGAAGUCUUCUUGCUUGAGCGGAUUGGUGAAGAUAUCAGCUCAUUGAUCUUGUGAUUUUACAUACUUGAUUUGUACUUCUUUUCUUGCAAUACGCUCUCUUAUGAAAUGAUAGCGAAUAUCUAUGUGUUUGCUUCGAUCAUGAAAGACUGGAUUCUUGGAUAGGGCAGUUGCUGAUUUGUUAUCAACAAAAAUCUCGCUUGGCUCUUCUUAUGGCAAACCCAACUCCUUCAGCAAAUUUUUGAGCCAAAUUGCAUGACAAACACUUGAUGUGGCAGCUACAUACUUAGCUUUACAGGUGGAUAGCGUGACAAUUGAUUGCUUCUUUGACAUUUAUUGGAAAGCAGUAUCUCCUAUGAAGAACACAAAUCCUGUGGUGCUCUUUCGAUCAUCUACAUCUCCACCCCAAUCACUACCGCUAUAUCCAACAAGCUUGUAAUAAUUAGAAAAUGAGUAUAACAAGCCGAAAUUAAUUGUACAUUUGAUGUAGCGAAGGAUUCUUUUUGCAGCUUUAAAAUGAGUGGUCUUUGGAUUCUCCAUGUAUCGACUCACAAGUCCAACAACAUAAAGGAUAUUUGUUCUUGUGCAUGUCAAAUAACAUAGGCUUCCGACCAAACUUUUAAAGAAUGUUGGAUCUAUAUCUUCGCCUUCAUAAUGUUUGGAUAACUUGACUCCGCAUUCCACUGGCGUGCUUAUAGGCUUGCAAUCAUUCAUCUUGAACCUUUUGAGAAUCUUCUUUGCAUAGCUUUCUUGGGAGAUAAAUAUGCCUUCAUUCUUUUGCUUGACUAAUGUUGAGGUAAUAUGUCAUCAGUCCGAUGUCAAUCAUCUCGAACUCUUCAAAUAAGCUUGGAUCACUUUCAGUGAAGAUGAGAUCAUCCACAUACAAGCACACAAUCAAAAUGUCUCCAGCUUUUUCUUUGACGUAGAGAGCAUGUUCAUAUGGGCAUUUGGUGAAGUCGUUCUCUUGAAAAUACUUGUCAAUUUUGCUAUUCCAUAUUGCUUUAACCCAUAAAGAGUUUUCUUCAAUCUCAAAAUUUUGUCUUUAUGUCAUUUCACCACAUAGCCUAACGGUUGUUCGAUGUAAACUUCUUCAAGGAAUCAAUUCAGGAAAGCAGACUUCACAUCCAUUUGAAAAAUCUUCCAUUUGUUCUGAGCAGUCAAAGAAAUAAUAAGUCUAAUAGUUUCAAGUCGAGCUAUAAGAUCAAAUACCUUGUCGUAGUCUAUGCCAGCCUUUUGACUAUAGCUUUUUAUAACUAGCCUCACACCUUGUCGUAGUCUAUGCCAGCCUUUUGACUAUAGCUUUUUAUAACUAGCCUCACACCUUGUCGUAGUCUAUGCCAGCCUUUUGACUAUAGCUUUUUAUAACUAGCCUCACACCUUGUCGUAGUCUAUGCCAGCCUUUUGACUAUAGCUUUUUAUAACUAGCCUCACACCUUGUCGUAGUCUAUGCCAGCCUUUUGACUAUAGCUUUUUAUAACUAGCCUCACACCUUGUCGUAGUCUAUGCCAGCCUUUUGACUAUAGCUUUUUAUAACUAGCCUCACACCUUGUCGUAGUCUAUGCCAGCCUUUUGACUAUAGCUUUUUAUAACUAGCCUCACACCUUGUCGUAGUCUAUGCCAGCCUUUUGACUAUAGCUUUUUAUAACUAGCCUCACACCUUGUCGUAGUCUAUGCCAGCCUUUUGACUAUAGCUUUUUAUAACUAGCCUCACACCUUGUCGUAGUCUAUGCCAGCCUUUUGACUAUAGCUUUUUAUAACUAGCCUCACCUUAUGUAUUUCAAUUUCUCCCUUCGCAUUUCUUUUCGUUUUAUAGACCCAUUUGACAUCGAUCACCUUGUGACCUUUAGGAAGAGUAGUAAGCUCCCAAGUAUCAUUCUUCACAAUGGCUUUAAGUUCUUUAUCCAUUGUAAUUCUCCACUUCUUAUCUAGUGCAGUUUCUUGGAAGUUGAUUGGCUCACAAUCAACAAAGAGGCAAAAAAGAGUGAGAUUAUCAUGUCUCUCAAUUACCUCAUAGAGGUAUUGAAGACUCCUUAUACAUUCUUCGGUUCUUUUAUUUAAGAAAGAUUGUAGUGAACCUCCACAUGUGGUUGAUGCUGGUGAGAUAGGUGGAGUAGUUGGCUCUUGUUGUUCUUCUACUUGUUUUAUUUGUGUAUGAUCAUAUUCUUCAAUGGGAAAUAAGUUGAAGUCAUCCACAUGAGAGCCAAAAUCCCAUUCUCCUUUUUCAUCAAAAACUACAUCCCGACUUAUCACGAUCUUCCCGUUGUUUAGAUUAUAAAGCUUGUAUCCUUUCGAAUUGUUGUCAUAGCCGAUGAAAAAUAAACUUCUCACUUUUGUGAUCCAGCUUGGUUCUACUUUCACCUGGUACAUGUACACGGGCAAUACUUUCGAAAACUCUUAGAUGGGUUAUGCCGAGCUUUCUUCCACUCCAAGCUUCUUGUGGCGUCUUGUCCCACACGCUUUUGUUGGAGAUUGAUUGGAUAAGUAGACUGCACAUACAACAACUUUAGCUCAAAAUUCUUUAGGCAGCCUCUUACUUUUAAGCAAGCUUUUUGCCAUGUCAAGGAUGGUUCUGUUCUUUCUUUCUACAAUACUAUUUUGUUGUGGGGAUUUUAGAACUGGUAAAGGGCAUCGAAUUCCAUUUGCUUCACAAAACUUUACGAAUUCUAUUUGCUUCACAAAACUUUACGAAUUCUUUGGAAGUGAACUCUCCACCUCGAUCAGAUCUCAUGGCUUUAAUGUGGUAUCUACUUUCUUUUUCUACUGCAGCUUUAAACUUCUUGAAAGCUUCAAAGACUUCUGAUUUCUGCUUCAAAAAAUACACUCAACUUUUUCUUAAAAAAACAUCUAUGAAGAGAAGGAAGUAAUUACUUUUACCAAGGGAGCUUGGCUUGAAUGGACCGCACACAUUAGUAUGAAUGAACCCGAGUGGCUUCUGAGCUCUUGAGUUUGAUUCCUUUGAAAAGCUCUUUCUGAACUACUUGCCAAGUAAGCAUCCUUCACAAAGUUGAUCAGGGUGAUUGAUGCAUGGUAAGUCUUUCACCAUGUUCUUCUUAGAUAGUAACUCCAGUCCUCCAAAGUUGAGAUGCCCAUAUCAAAGAUGCCAAGUCUAAGAUGGAUAUUUGUGACAUAUUUUGAGACAUUUUGCAACAUCAUUUUGAAUAAUUAAAGGAAACAUUCUAUUCUUCGACAUUUUUACCUUUGUAAUAAGAUUUCCUUUGUCAUCUCUUAAGAAAAGAUUACAAUCUUUUAAGUGAAUAUCAUAGCAUUUUUCCAAAAGUUGACCAAAAUUAAAGAUGUUUCUUUUUAUAUUGGGCACAUAGUAAACAUUCGAAAUUAUUUAGUGGCUACCAUUUUUUGCACGAAAAAGAAUGUUACCUAUACCCUUCACUGGUACUUUUGAAUCAUCUUCAAAAGCAACACUGCCAUUCACAGAUUUAUUUAGUUCCAUGAACAUGCUUAUGUUUCCACUUAUAUGAUUGCUAGCACCUGUGUCAAGAUAUCAUGUAUUUUCUUGACCUACACUUGUGUUAUUGCGUGCUAGUAAAAGUGUGCCAUCUUUACCAUUUUUCUCUUCUACAUAAUUCACUCUCUCAUUAAUUCUGGUACUUGGAGUUCUACAUUCUGAAGCAUAAUGCCCAAACUUAUGACAAUUAUACUUGGGAUUUGUGAUACCUUGAUCUUGGAUUGCCUCUGCCUUGUCCUCUGGUUGAGCUUUCUCCGUUGGCAUAAUUGGAGUUGUUGUUGUUGAAAUUCUAACCUCGUCCAUGACCACGACCUCUACCUCGAACAUAAUACCUUCUCUCAUUGUCGGAGCUUUCUUCUCUUUUCUUUGGAUUGAUUCCAUAUUGAGAAGUUGUUCUUCAAUUCCUUACUACUUUUUUAGUUUUUCUUCAUAGGCUUGCAACCUUCCUCGAAGUUGCUCGAUCGUCAUAUCCUCCAGAUCUUUUGUUUCCUCAAUUGUCACAACAAUAUGGUCAAACUUCAAGUAUACUGAUCGAAGUAUCUUUUCAAUGAUCCUUACCUGUUUUAACUCCUUGCCAUUUCCUUUUAAUUCAUUGGAAACGGUCACAACUUGAGUAAAGUAGUAAAAAAUUGACUCUGAUGACUUCAUGUGUAAGGACUCAAUUUCUCCUUGUAAUGUUUGGAGACGAACCUUCUUAACUUGCUCCGCUCCUUUGUAAGAAGUCUUUAGUUUCUUUCAUACUUCUUUUGAGGAGGUUACACUAGUAAUCUUUUCAAAAACAUAUUCGUCUAAUGAUUGAAAGAUAAGAUACUUUGCUUUAUUCUCUUUCUUCUUUAAGUCUUUUAAAUUCUCCUUCUGCACCACAGUUAAAGUGGUUUCAUUUUCUGGCACAAUAAAACAUUUCUCCACGACAUCCCAUACGUCAUGUGCACCAAACAGAGCCUUCAUUUUAAUACUCUAAUUGUCCAACUUACUUCCCUUUAAUUGUGGAGCUUGAAAUGACAUCAUACCAACAUUUGCCAUAACUCACAAAUUGAGUGAGAAUUUUGAGAUUCUGAAUGCACAGAUAGAUCCGGUACGUCGAGAAACCUUGGAAGGGACUUGAGUCAAUUUUCAAUCAACGAUCAAUUUUUGGUCAAUGGUCAUGUCGGUCAAUGGUCAACUAUAGUGUAGUUGACUUGGUUCGAUCCGGGUUAGUUCGGUUCUAGUUGGCUCGGUUCGACUUGAUUCGGUUCAGCUCGGCUCGGCUUGGUUCGGUUCGGCUCAACUUGGUUCGGUUGGUUUCAGGUUGGUUCAACUCGGUGAGUCGACUCAACUUCAGGACAUAAAACUUCUGGCAGUGAGUGUGGGUGAGUUCGGCCUCCGAUCGGGCUGAGUUUUGUGGCAUUACGUUCCUCUCAUCGAGAUCUUCCAUUUGAUAUGCUAUAUGAUUAUAUAUAGCAUCGAACACUAGCUCUAAUACUACUUUGUUGGAGAAUCAACAAAUGAUUAAACUAAUGUAUCAUGGGGCUAUAAAAGAAAGAGAAGAAGAAAAGCUUUCAUUGGAAAUUUUGGAUUCUCUAAGAUAUGAAACAUGAGAGACCUUGAAAAGAAAGAAAGGAAAAAAAAACCUAAAAUUGAGAUUUCUUAAAAAAUGGAAGAGUAAAACAGAGUUAAAAAAUGGGAGUAAAUUCUUAAAAAUAUACCAAGGAGGAAAAUAAAGACAUGAGAGAAACAAAUUUUAAUGGAUGCUCUUGUGGACGUAAAAGAAAAAUGAUCCCAAUGUUAGUUUAAAGACAAGUUUUGAUGGACACUCUCAUGUAGAAUCUAUUUAAUCACACACGAUGAGAUUGAGUUUUUAAAAAUGUUAUCAUAAAUGAAAUUAGGUUACUAGACUUCUCUCUCUCUCUCUAUACAUAUAUAUAUGUGUGUGUGUGUGUAUCUAUAAAAUUAUUCUCAGGUGCACGUGCCCUCAUUUUUUUUUUUUUUAAUGCGGACACUUUAUUAAACCACAUGAUUUAACAACGUGUCUGCAUAAAAAAAAAGGGGGCACUUGUAUGAGAGAAUGACUCUAUGUAUAUAUAUAAUCAUUUCUUACGAAGCAUAAGGCCUCCCCUAAAUCCUAAAACGGGCAAUAUCAAUACAGUGCAAAGAAACAAGUUGUAAUUACAUUUUUCUAAAGAAAACUAUGGGACAUGGUUUGAAUCAAGAUACUUGGGGUGCUUUUCGACACCUAAGUCACCCUUAACGAAGCUAGCUAAUUGGAGUCCAAUUUCAAUUAUAGAUGAAUUUAUCUUGCAAUUUCAGACUGCAAGAAAAAAAGGUUUUUAGAUCUUCCAAGGAAAGUUACGGAUGUGGGUUUUAAAUCAAGAUACUAAUUAGUAAUUAACCAGGCUAUACCAUCAUUGAAGUCUAAUUUCGAUUAUAUAUGUAUGAGUACUUCACUGCCUUCAUUAAUCUCAAACUCAUGUGAACUUGAUAGCAUCCAAACAAAUUACCAAAGCAUAAUUUUCUAAAUUGUUUAGAAGAUCACAGCUGUUACCAGUGAAUAUUUCUGUUAAAAGUUUAUGACAACAAAUUACUGCUAAUAAAUGAUCAUUUCGUACGUUUUCAAGCAUCUGCAGACUGCAAAACUAAAAAGCCAGCGUCUCAAAACAAUUGGGAAAAUAUUAAAAAAUAUAUGCCAAAAAAAAAAGAAGAAGCAUACUUAAGGAUCUUGAAAAACUUGUCAAAUUUUGGAUGCCACAGUGAAGAUAUUAAACUGCAAUUUUUUCUUUUUUUAAUAAUUUUUGCUUUGUCACAAAUGAGAUUGACUAACAUACCCUCGAGUAGAAUCUAACUACUGUACCACCAUUUGGAUGCUUAGUCGAUAAAAAAUAUCUUUGAAAAAAUUAGCGUUUUUUGUUUUCGACGUAUUUGUCCAAGAAAGAUUUUAUGUUUUGGAUUUUGGUCUUGUCAAUGGUGAGUGAGUACCGAUUUUCAAGUUUGUCUAUACGUUGAAUUAAUUGUAUGUUUUAUUAGUGGGGUGUAUAGCACAUACAUAGAGAGAGAGAGAGACGACAGCCUUGUGAAUAUCAUUAUGCUGCUUCCUGCAAAUCUUAUACGAUUGUUAUUGAAAUUUUGUACCUUGAUAAGAGCAUUCAUUGAUAAAUAUGUUUCAGUGUUAUAAGACUUUUGAUGAACGUCUAGGGAGUCAUCUUAAUUUGAGAUGUAUGGUACAUGCAUGAAACGUGUGUAGCAAUUGAACUGUAGUGAUACAACAUUAAUCAAUUUAACCCAUUGGAUACAAAAUUUAAGUUAUUAUAGACCAUGAUAGUGAUGAAUGCCAAUUCACAUCGAGCGGAAUCGGUAUUAGAAGUCAUGUAGAUUUAAAGAGAUUAAUAAGGUAAUGGGUUCGAAAAUUAAUUGCAAUUGACACAGUACUUAAAUCUGUAAGAAUUUGAAUGUGAAACUUUAUUUGUUUUGAUACUGUAUUUGUGAAACCAUUAAAAUUUUGUAAUAAGGACCAAAACUAGUGAAAAAUCUUAACUGAUAGAAGCUGAUUGAGGAAAAAAUUGAACACCACUAACACUGUCUCUAAUACUGUGUAAUUAUUGUUUCACUGAAUUACAAGCUUAAAGUAUUAAGCCAAUGCCCAAAAUUAUUAAUUUUAAACCAAAAAAAAAAAAAUCUAAUACCAAUGCCCAAAAUUAUUAAUUUUAAACCAGCUUAAAGUAUUAAGCCAAUGCCCAAAAUUAUUAAUUUUAAACCAAAAAAAAAAAAAGAAAAAGAAAGAAAGAAAGACGUACCUUACAGUUUUAACUUUAUAAAAAGUUUCGUUAGCCAAUAUAUAGAUUUUAUUUAUUUAUUUAUUGUAGAAGUAAGGGAUCCUGCUAUGUUGGUUAUGCUCUAACUUAGAGCAUCUCCAACAUAUCAAUUUCCAGAAGUAAGAAGUCAAGGGUUCAAUCCAAUGCGUAACUGAUUGGUCGUGGUUUUGUUCAAUAAUUUCGCAAAACAACAGAAAUGAAAUAAAAUUAUAUACCACCAUAAUUAAUUAAUCAACGGAUUCUGUUUAGAUUCUGUGCUUGAUUGUAUAUCAAUACCAUCAUAUUUUUAUCAAUAUUUUAAAUUCAAUUAUAUUGUUGUGGUCUGAAUGAUUUUUAUUUUUAAUAUUUUUACGAAUUUAUUGGUGUUCGGUUGGAUAAUAUUUAAAGUAAUAACAAACAUAGGUUUUAAUGGAGUGAAAUUGUAAGGGAUGGUAACUAAAUCUUGUUUCUUAUUGUUUAAUGAUAAAGACUGAAUUCAAUAUGAAGUGGUCUGAUAUUGUAAAUGCAUUGCAGGUAAAUUGAAAUUUUUUAUACGAUGGGAGGAAGUGCGAUUGAUGAUGAUUGGGAGCUUACUUCUCCAUCUAAUGGGGUGCGCACUGUGGUUUUUGUUGGCCGUACUGGCAAUGGCAAAAGUGCGACGGGCAACAGUAUUCUUGGAAGAAGAGCCUUCAAGUCGAGGGCUAGCUCGUCUGGUGUUACUAGUACUUGUGAAAUGCAGAGAACCGUGCUCAAAGAUGGCCAAGUUGUUAAUGUCAUUGAUACCCCCGGUAAUUUACUAAUGUCGUUGCCUAGAUAUUCCAUUUCCAUGCCUGUUGAUGUUGUGGUGGUAAGUAGAUUGAUGUUAUCGUAAUAAAAAAAAAAGGGUAGAUUGAUGUUAUGAGCAAUUGCAGGACUUUUUGAUUUUUCUGCUGGCUCUGAGUUUGUCGGCAUGGAAAUUGUCAAAUGUAUCGGUCUGGCCAAGGAUGGGAUCCAUGCAGUCCUUGUAGGUUUCUCUGUUAGAAGCCGUUUUCCUCAAGAGGAAGAAGCUGCACUACACAGUUGGCAGACCUUGUUCGGGAAAAAAGUUUUUGACUAUAUGAUUGUUGUUUUCACUGGAGGGGAUGAACUUGAAGAUAAUGAGGAAACGUUGGAAGAUUAUUUGGGUCGUGAGUGUCCAAAGCCUUUAAAGGUUUGUUUCUGAACGGCAAUAGUGUUUGAUAAUUUCAUUAGUCAUUUUGAUCAAGUUGUCUUGGGUUGGUUCCUUUUUGAAGUUUUAGACUCCUUUACGGUUGGACUAUUGGAAGUUUAAUAUGAAUAUAUCCAUGCUGAAAAUACUAGACAGGUUCAUAGUAGUCCAGCCGUCUUAAAGUUCCACAUUCAAUAUUGCUUCAUUUCCUGAAUGAUUUUCUUCUGCCAUGGGGUAUUGGCCGGAGGGGGUGAUUGGUUGGUAAUUUUCUGCUGGCAUUACUUAAUUUUAGUUAUAUUUUAAUGUCUUUGAAUGAGAUGUCAUUCAUUCAUUUGCCAAGCAUUUAUGCUUUUCUUAUUUGUAUUCUUUGAUUUCAUCUGUUAUUUAAUCUUUGGUUCUUAUUCUAUUAAUGUGUGUUCAUUUGUUUGUUCCUUAAAAUAUGUACAUCAUUGAUUUAUAUGCUUAAAAUUAACCUACUUUUAAGAUUUUAGAAGUGCGCCAACGAGGACAUGACUUGCUAUACAGGUCCAUUUUAUUAGGUGUUGUUUGAAUAGAAUAUCAAGUCUAACUUUACAAGAUUUAAAAUUCUCUUAAAAAUCCCUGUGGAUUCUAGCCUCAGAAUUGGUGUCUAAAAUUUCAAUGUGAGAUCGCUUUUCAGUUUUAACAUGCAAAUCUCCUAUAUUCAGCAUUUACUUGAUGAAUUUGUUUCCUAAAACUUUUUAAGUUGAGAAAGAUUUAUAUCGAGUUCCUCUAUUUUACUGCAUACUUGAUUAAACCUAUGAGGAGUUGGAAGAAAAACAACAAAAAUGGAGAUAAAGACCCUUCAAGUUGUAGCUUUGCAAUUAACAAAAUCGGGUUAUUUUACAGUUAAAGUGAGCUUUGUUUUUCUUAUUGUAGUAAUUUUUGUAGUUUGAAGGAAUCAAAAUUUUUUAAUUAUAAUGCCGCAAAAUUUUGUCAAUUAUGUAGCUGCCACAGAAAAUAUGAUCAUGUCUUUUGGUUUGAGCUUUGGUCACUUGAGUUUGUUUAUGACAAUAGUACAAUCUUUCAGGCUUUGUUCUAUAAUGUAAGAAUUUGUGAGUAGGCAACUACUGCUUUGUAGCCACUAAUUUUGAUUGGGUCAAUGCUUUUCACUGGAAUAUAUGCAGAUUAUUAUUAUUAUUAUUAUUUUCUGUUAUAUGGAAUGCUGAUCACCUUAUUCUAAGUGGUCAACCCAUAAGGAGAAUGGAAUUAAUUAUUAAAAUUUGAUUAUGGCUUGCUUUUAAAUAGUUUUUGAGGAUGCAAGAUAUUAAGUAUCAAUGAUAACAAUAAAAACAAAUUUUGUCAGCUGAAUACUUUCAAACUUUUAGAGACUACAAGUGUUUGAUUGGUUUAUCAAUGCUUACAAAAGGGGCCAACAUUUGCUUUAUUCCUGAUCAUUUUUCCAUUAUUUUAGGAAAUCCUUCAACUAUGUGAUAAUAGGCGCGUGCUUUUUGAUAACAAGACCAAGGAUGAGGCCAAGAGAACUGAGCAGGUUUGGAAGCUUCUUUCUCUGGUUAACUCUGUGGCCGUGCAGAAUGGUGGGCAGCCA
Molecule: long non-coding RNA, 65224 nt
Filed under: Citrus sinensis (sweet orange)
Lineage: Eukaryota; Viridiplantae; Streptophyta; Magnoliopsida; Sapindales; Rutaceae
Description: long non-coding RNA (CSIN_LNC002124)
Source: RNAcentral